Molecule: long non-coding RNA, 58839 nt
Filed under: Nicotiana tabacum (common tobacco)
Lineage: Eukaryota; Viridiplantae; Streptophyta; Magnoliopsida; Solanales; Solanaceae
Description: long non-coding RNA (NTAB_LNC004433)
Source: RNAcentral
UAAAAUAAAAAAACACUUAUUUUCUAGGAAGAUAUUUUGUAAGGAAAAUAUAGGAAAACAUUUUCAAUCAUGCCAACCCACCCUAAAACAUUGACCCAUUUUUGACAUCUUCAUCCAUCCCUCUCAGUCGCAGGCUCGCAGCAUCCCCUCUUUGAACUUUGACGAUGGUCUCCAGCUAAAUUCUAUUCGAGAAUCCUAAUUAGGCAAAAAACAAGGAAUUGCGAAGACCCAUAAACCCCCAAAUGAUACGAAAAGGUUGAUUGUGCAAUCUUGGGGGAUAUAUAUAUAUAUAUAUAUAUAUAUAUAUAUAUAUAUAUAGUACGUUACGUUACUUUCUUAGUUAUAGUACUAGAGUAGNNNNNNNNNNNNNNNNNNNNNNNNNNNNNNNNNNNNNNNNNNNNNNNNNNNNNNNNNNNNNNNNNNNNNNNNNNNNNNNNNNNNNNNNNNNNNNNNNNNNNNNNNNNNNNNNNNNNNNNNNNNNNNNNNNNNNNNNNNNNNNNNNNNNNNNNNNNNNNNNNNNNNNNNNNNNNNNNNNNNNNNNNNNNNNNNNNNNNNNNNNNNNNNNNNNNNNNNNNNNNNNNNNNNNNNNNNNNNNNNNNNNNNNNNNNNNNNNNNNNNNNNNNNNNNNNNNNNNNNNNNNNNNNNNNNNNNNNNNNNNNNNNNNNNNNNNNNNNNNNNNNNNNNNNNNNNNNNNNNNNNNNNNNNNNNNNNNNNNGGUUCUCCUUAAAUACUCUCUUUUACUUUUAUUGGGAAAAUUGUUACCUCUUUUAUAGAACUGAAUUUUGUUUUGCACAGCAAUUAUGUUCAACAGGUUACCCUCUUUACUUGUUAAAUUAAAUUCACAAUUUCAUUUUUUCCCCUUUAAAUCAAAAUUUUUGUUUGUUUUCUUUCAUUUUUUUGGGAGAGGGUUGGUAAAUGUUUGGUUUUCUAGGAAGUUGAAUUUGCUAAUUGAGUGGUUUAGUUUUGCAUCUUUUAUGGAAUUCCCCUUAAUGACGGAUUACUCUUGUGCGAAUUUCCGGAGUUAGUCCUUACUUGCAUAAUUUGGGUUCGCUAAUCUGAGUUUUGGAGGAAUGAAUUGUUUUUAGUAGCGUCAUAUUAUCAUAACCUCUUGGUUAGGUAAGAAUCAAAUUCCUAGAGAGAGAAUGACUAUGCAUAAAUAGCCUCUCAUCCCUAGUUUCGUUUUGAUGCGGCAAUGAGGUUUUACUUUGUACUGAAGAGUGGGUAUUGUUUGUAGAGAAUCAUUUUUUUCUUUUUGGUAUACUAACACCAUAUUUUCUCAUGAUUGAUAAAACUAUUUACAUUAAAAAAAGAGUUUAGAUUAGAAAAAAUCUGUAUAAGAAUUGCUGAAGAAUUUAAAAGGGAAAAUUGUUUUAGAUAUUAUAUUUGAUUGACUGACUCUCUUAAUGGUUCUUUAUGGAGGGUUCUCUUCUUUCUGAAUAUGGUGGGGUUGUUGUGUUCUUCCGUUCCUUUCCAUGUAAAAUGUAUAAGUAAUGGCUAUAAUUUGUUCUGUGUAGCCUGGCUGCUCAAGUGAGCUGUCUAGAGUGAACAUCUCAGAGGCACAGCUUAUUCAAAUCAAGGUGAGUUUUCUCAUUUGCUGUACUGUAAAACUUCUCCUGUUUUAUGUUCUCAAUAAUAAUUGUGGAUAUGCAUCUAGGUUUUGGGUGUUGAAAUAAAAGCUAGUGCUGAAAAAGGCUUCAUUUUUUUGUGUUUUUGGGUUUCGGGUUUUGAACUAAGUUGCUCGAACUCGGGUGCUGGUGUACGGAUCCGAAAGUCGGAUUCGGCAAAAUCUUAAUUUCAGAUUCGGGGGUGCGGAUCCAGGUAUGGAUACGGGUGUUGGGAUUCGGCUAGGAAAAUUCAAAAUUAUAAAAAUAGAGCUAUAAAGAUAUUCUAAAUUUUGAGAGAUAUUUUGUGAAAACUUACAUGUAUAUUGUAGAAUUCAAUCUUUCAUUCUCCAUGUCUUAAAUUGUAAAACUUACAUUAUAUUGUAGAAAAAUUUACAUGUAUAUUGAAGGUAUGCCGUUUCCCAUGUCUUAAAUCUGUUUUAUCUUUUAUUUUGAGAAAUCAAAAUCUCAAUUAUUCUCCCAAAUUUGUCCAUGGACUCCGGUCAAAGUAUUCGAAGUUGGUUGACUGAAUCCCAAAUGUAUCCUGCACCAGCACCCGUCCCAGUGUCGAUACGGGUUCGGCAUAAGAAAUGAUGAGUCUGCGCAACUUAGGUUUUGAACAUUGUAGCUUAAGUUGAAAAGUGUUUAGUCUGGAAUUAGAUAAAGGAAAGCCCAGGGUAGGAUCAUAUAAAAUAUAAAUAUCUGCAUGUAGAAAUGUGAUGAAUAAAUUAAUAAAUUAUCGAUGUUUCUCAACCAAAAAAAAUCAUUUUUUUUUUGAGAAGAGUAACAUUUUUAUAUAAAACUCAUUAGUAAAGUUACAGUUCAAACAAAAAAGAGCAAACAAAAAUUCUAGCCUUGUACAUCUAGCAAGGUACCAAUGAUGUCUAACAAAGAUCCUACAUCAUCUAUGAACCUCCUUUGGUUUAUGAACCUGCUUUACACCAAAGGUAGAACAAAAAUAUACAAUUCAUCUUGAUCUUCUGUUGAGAGUUUGAAAUGUUUUCAAAGCAUCUAAGAUUUCUCUCCUUCCAAAUUGCCCACCAAAUACAUGCUGGGAUGAUGCUCCACCACUUCUAUUGCCUUAUCAUGUUUUUCUUGUCAUUCCAGCAUGCUAGGAGUUCACCAGUUGAUCAUGGCAUUGACCAUCUCAUACUUUUCAUGUUCAAAAAUAAAACCGUACAGUUACUUGGCAGUGCAAAAACAGGUGAUUAAUAGUUCCCGACUCUCUACCACACAUAAAGCACCUGGAACAUAAAGGCAUCCCUCUCUUCAUCACAUUGUUAUGUGUCAAGACUGCCAUUCUAACCACUAACCAGCGGAAACAUGCCACUUUGAGAAGAAUCUUCACUUUCCAUACAUGUUUCCACUGCCAGGAGCCAAAGUGUUGCCCAGUACAAUUUAAGCCUGCAUAUGCUGAUUUCACAGUGAAAAGUCCCUUGCUAGUCCCUCUCUACACUAGCCUAAGCCCUCUCUGAGAUGCCUUUAAAAUUGUCUAACAGCUUGAGAAAUUCAACUACUCUGCUAACUUCCGAAUCCAAACACAAAUAAUCUUCCUCUAUCUAUGUUGAGGACUUAUUAAAAGUAUGACUUAAUGGUGGCCUUGUAAUGUAAAGCCAAUUGAUCAUAGGGGUGCGAGUCUGCAUUAGGCUGAAGGUUUAGUCGGCUUAUGAUCUUUCUCUUUUAGCAAAUAACAAUGUGAUAUAUAUAUAUGGUGUCUAGUCUUGAGUUACCAAUUUUUUCGUUUGCACAUCCUAACCAAAUUGGUCCCAUGGUAACUUCAAAAUAAAGAAUUAGUCGUAGGAAAUCUAUCUAUUUUUGAGAAACAGAUAAAUUGAGCUCUAUUAAUAUCAUAUUAAUGAGUCCCCAAAACGGAGCAAAAGUCAUAAAUCCUAUCUCAUUUACUGCAGCAAAUGGUAAAAAGAGCAACCAAGCCCAAGAGAAAGUGAACCAAAGAAAAGAUCUUUACUCACAACAGUUGAAACCAUGGCCAUGUCAUCUGACGUUAAGACCAUGGUAAGUUCAGGUUGGCCUAUUAGAGUGAAUGUAGGUGGUUGAUGUAGUUUCUUUUUGAAGCAUCUUAGUUUCCAGUUGCCAAAGUGUAGUAAUGAAGUGAGGAACACCCUACACCUAGGUAGUGUCUCAUUUUGAAACUAUUCUUUUUUUUCCCUUAGAGAGUCUUAUCUUCAUUUGUAGUGCUUUAAUGGUUAUGCCAUGUACGCUUGGGGUCUUUCAAUCGAGCUCUAUUUGGACGCAUGUGGGCCAUUGUAUAUAAGCUUUCACUUUUAAUGUGGCUCAUUUGACGACUCAAGUACAUGGAUCUCACGAUCUAUUGGCAUAGAUUAGGGAAUGGAUGCCUAUGGUCGAAGAGUUGGAGUAACAACAUAAAGAACCAAGGUUCGGAUACGUGCAGAGGCAACACUAGGUGAUUUCUUUCCAUCUGUCCAAAGUUGGGCGGGCAAAGUUAUCCGGUACCUAUGGUGUCGAUGAUCUUGAAUCGGAUCAAUAUCAUGAAUAACAAUAUCUGAACUAUCAAAUCAUUUGUCGUCGAGAAUUGAAUAAUAUAACAUAGGAAGUUCUUUUAUCCAUACCGCCCCAAACUUGGAUUCCUGGUCGAAUCCAAAAUUCCUUUAUUUAUUUAUCAUUAUCAUUUUUAUCAUAUGUUUUUUUUGGAGUAACAACAUAAUAAACCAAGGUUCGGAUUCGUGCAGAGGCAACACUAGGUGAUUUCUUUCCAUAUGUCCAAAGCUGGGUGGGCAAAGUUAUCCGGUACCUAUGGUAUCGAUGAUCUUGAAUCAGAUCAAUAUCAUGAAUAACAAUAUCUGUACUAUCAAAUCAAUUCGUCGUCGAGAAUUGAAUAGUAUAACAUAGGAAGUUCUUUUAUCCAUAUCGCCCCAAACUUGGAUUCCUGACCGAAUCCAAAAUUCCUUUAUUUAUUUAUCAUUAUCAUUUUUUAUCAUAUGUUCGUUUUUUUCCCCUCUCUAAUCCAGUGAUGUUAAAAGCGACCGCUUCCUCGCUUAAAGCAAAAAACGAUGCGAAGCGAGGCAUCUCGCGCUUCUCUGAUCUGAAGCGUAUCAGGUACACAAAAGCGAUCGCUUCCCCUGGAGAAGCGAGGAAGCGAACAAAGCGACAGAAGAAAGCGCUUCUCUUUAAAACUGGGAUGCCAACGUUAAUUAAUUAAAAAGGCUCUCUUUCUUUAACUUCAAGAUCAUCAAGUUUGGUCCAGGUAUGCGAUUUCUUCUUCCUCCUCCUUCUUCCUCCUCCUUCUUCCUUUUCUUUUUCUUUCACUGUUUUAGUGUCCAAAUAGCAGCGAAAUGUUGGCGAAGUUUUUUUCCCCUUCAGUUCUUUUUCUCAUUCUCUUCUUCUUCAUAUUCUUUUUCUUUCACUGUUUCAGUGUCCAAAAGCGAUCGCUUCAUUUUUCGUUUCAGUUAUACUGCCAUUUUUUGGCAUACUUACUGUCAUUUUUUUCAUAUCAUUUAUUCUUAGUUGUCUAUGCAGUAUUUAUUUUAUUGUCAUCCUCCUCCUCUUCUUCUUCUUCUUCUUCAUUGUCUAUGCAGUAUUUAUCUUCUCGCUUCUCACUUUAAGCGAAAAGGGGCUUGUCGCGUUUCCUCGCUUCACGCUCUUCACAAUACUGCUCUAAUCUAUCUAGUUCCUUCUUGUACAAUCAUCUAAUGAAGUCUCAUCAAAUUGCUCUUCCAUUUCCGGUGGUGGAAGGAAACAUGUAUUGGUUGAUUAGCCGAGGUGCGUUAGUUGGCCAAGACAUCACUGUUACCCCCCCAAAGAAAGAAAGAUAUUAGAUCUUUUACAGCUGAAUAUUUGCAUAAGCAUCUAAGCAGCUAUGGUUUUUCGUUUUUUUCUUUUAAUUGAAGGGUUUAAGCCUCAUUUGAGCUGGUUCACAUAAUUUCUUAGCAAAAAAAAGUUGUGUGCUGAUAAAGUUCAACAAAUUGUUCAAAAGAAAAUUAAGAGAAAUAUGAAUAAUGAAAAAGGCGUGGUUCAAAGCUAAUAUAGGUGAUAAACUGAGUUGACUAAUCUUGAAGGAUGAUUCCUUAUAGAAUAUCUAGCAUUUGUCACAUUUUCAUGAAUCUAUAUAAGUCUCCAUUUGGUACAUAAUUGCAUUAAUAUCGCUGUUUUGGUUAUUUAGUAAAUUUCUGAUCACUCACGUGUGCUAGUUAUAUCAUACUGUAAAAUCCAGCUGAUUCUGUUUUCUCCUACAGAUUACAAGUGCUGGCUUGUGGUCACAGAAUCAAACCAACUAUGAUGUAGUAAACGUUGCCAACGAAGAACCUAUAAGUGAGAACCUGAAAUGUGGGAAUGAAGAUAGUUCAGUUACCACAGCUACAAAACCAUGGUUGGACUGGUUAAGUGAUGGCGCCAAAAGUGGUAAAUCUCUAUUACAUUCAAACAGUGAGUUCUUUGAAUCUUCAUUGGGGAGUUCUAUGAAGAGUGAGUCAGUGGUUGAUGAUGUGAUCCCUAAAAUCAAUAAGGAAAGUUCACGUGCACGAUUUUUCAUCUCGCCAAAGGAAUCACUCAAAGCAGCUAUAAUUCGAAUUGGCCAAAAAUGGCAUGGACGUUUGUCUUUCAUUUGGAGAAUUUCCAAGCGGGUACUUGGAGGAUUAUGGGUAAGUUUGGAUAAGUGUAAAACUAGCUUGCAUCUUCUCUGAUACUUUAUGUUAGCAUAUUAUGGGAUUCCCUCAUCUGGGAACAAGGCUAGCUAAGUGAAUCAUAUUAUAAAGUACACACAGCUUGCUGUGCUUAUCAUCAUGCCAUCUUUUAUUAAUGUUUUUCGUGCAAAUGAAAAUCCAAGGUAAAUUGAGAUGGUCUUAACCCUAGACUGGAAUAUUUCCUAGUUAAACAGGCUAGGAGUACACUUAGGAACACUAGCUAACUUGUGAUUUUCCAUGUACUAGUUUUAGAGUACAUGCCUCGCAUGUGUAGCCUAGUCUUUAUUCUAAAAUUUAAAGGUAAUAAUCUUUUAAUAUAAUGCAUAACUUAAAAAUAUUUAUUUACCUUAUAAAAAUCAAAGCUUACAGAAAGUGCAAAGUUUGAUUGUGGAUGAUUGUUAUCAUAAUUAAAUAUUGUAAAAGGCCUUUCGUUCCUCCUCUGUUGAACUUCCUUGGAGGAGGAAGGAAAGCUCAUACUGGCCAUAAACUAUCCUGCCAAAGUUCAAAGGAAAAAAGUAUUUUCAUAAAAAAAUAUUUUUAAAUUCCAAUUCGCUUAUAUCGGAAAGUAAAACUUACUCGCCUAGUCAUCCUGCAACGCCACCUAUAAUUUUUUUAAAAAAGUCAGUACAAACAUAUGUUUACAUAUGAAUAACUAACCAUUGUAAAAUUAAAAUAACACCAAAUACAAUAAAAUUAAAACAAGACCAAGAAUCGUUUAAAAUUAGUUUGAGUUUUAAAUUUAACAUAAUUACUAUAUUAGAGUGAUUCAAACUCAACUUUUCAUCUGACCUAUAACAUAAAAAAGCUGGGACAACGAAACUGGUAUUUAACGUAUAAAAAUAGCAAAAGAAAAAUCCCUAUAAUUGAGAAUCUUGCAAAUACAAUUUGGAAUCUAAAAGAUACCGUUAUUGUGUUCAUUCAGAUACAAAGUGCAUUGAAACAAGAAGACGAAACUUGGACAACAUGUUUAAGGAGUACUUCUAAUAGAGAUUGAAGAUAAAGUAUUAAUGUUAAGUAUCGAGGUUGAAAGCAUCACAAUUGUAAAAAUUUCACUGUCAAAUCUACAAUGAAAUCUGGGCGAAAAAAUAAUUCAUAGAGUGAAAACGAACAUGGCUUAGCAUUGGCUUGUUACCAUUGGCUUGUUCGUGCAACAAAUAGCAUGAGUUGUUCUUACUUCUUUGCAUCAGAAUUAAUAUGGACUAAAUCAUAGGUUGAGAGGUACAAUGAAACUAUUAAUUAGCUUUUCUGUGUAUUUUCGUCAUCAAUUGAAUAAAAUUAAGAAAUGACAUGUUCAAUGAAAAUAUAAAGCUUCAAUCUACCUGAUUAUUACAACUCAAAGACUGAAGAAGAAUUAAAUCUAAAAAAUAGUAAAUCUGUCUGGAUGUUCCAUUGACAAGAGAAUCAUUAUGUGCAAAUGAAAUCCUAUAUAAGAAGUGUUUGUGUGUAUGGUUCAAAAAAGGAAAGGAGUAAAAUUGUGUAUAGUUCGAAUAGAAAAAAGAACUUUAUUUGUAGUUUCUACGUGCUCUUUUAAUUACUUUUUUUUAAUAAUCAAAUCAUAUUAUUAAAAAAUUAAAUCGAUUAUAUUCAUAAUGAAGACUCCUAAACCUAAUAGAGUUCUCGGUGCACGAUAUUUAGUUUCCUACUUUGAUUUCUCUAGUUUAGGUGUCAACUUUGGAUUUUUCUGUUUUGGUUUUAAUUACUUUUUCAAAUAAGGGAAGAUUUAAUAAUUAAAAUUUUACUUGAUCUCAAAUUCUUAAAUAUUAGAAAAAUAAAACUAAAUUACAAUUUUAUCUAGUGUGAAAUCUAUUUUUGAAGGGUAAAAAAGACAGAACAAUAUUUUGCUAAGGGCCUUCGUGCUUUUAAUAUAUUAUAUAGAUUUAUUGCUUCACGUUCAACUUUUUGUCAUUAAACUUGCUAUUUCUACCACAUGACACUUAUUAUUUUUUUUUUUUGGGCCAAGGUGAGUGAUUAAGAGAAUGAAUCUGAACAUCAGAUAGCUUGCUUUUUAUUACCCGUUUUAUGUAUUUCUGUGAUUAGCUUUUUGAAAGGUUACAGUACCUAGUGAAGAACAUAGCCUAUUAUGUCUUUCCUACUUCUCUUUUGUUAAAAAUUCUAUAUGCUUAAAGGAACUGAGAAGAUCAGGUGUUAUACAGACCCUUUAUAUCACACAAAAAAGAAAAAAGUUUCCACAACAUAAAUUAAAUUUGUUAUGAGAUGUGCAUUUAAAUAAAAGAUUUUGAAGUUCGAAUAUAUGUUAGAAAGUCCCAUUAUAACGGUUUUAAGGUCUUAUUUCAUCAUUCAGUUUAGGUUGCUCUCCUCUGCGCAUUUUGGGUUCUGAAUUUUGGCAGGUCACUGAUUGAAUUGGGGACUUGUGCCCAUGUUUGUCCUUUGUUGUUCUCAGGAAUUUGAUUGGUGUUGUAACACCUAAUUAUGUUUUGCUGAAGUUUUGUUUGAGUUUGAUGUUAUUGUCUGGUAACAACGUUUCACUUAGGGUUUACUUUGCUGAUCAUCUUUAUGGCAGCGUCUGGUCUUGAUACAUUGUGGAGCUAGAUUUUAAAUACCUGAUAUUUUUUCCCAGAAGAAAUGAUGCAUUACUUAUCCUGUACACUUUUGUAUACUGGUGGCAGUGGGCAUCCAACUUGUAUGUUUCACAAUAAAGUUUACUUCUACCAUCUCUAAUAAUGAGCUGUAGAUAUUUAGUUUGAUCUAAUAAGUGAAUGCCUUUUUGUUUCUUUUCCUCUAGUUUUCCUGGUAAAUUUAAAUGUCAAGCUCAUUCAGAUGCUUGCUUUAACGUGCUUCUCAGACUAAAGUUCCAAUAUGCAGGAUAUUGCUGGUAUACAUCUACAUAUUGACAUUCCUAAGUUGCUCAAGGCGCUUCACUUGGACAGGCUAAACUCUUAUGCUGGUAUCUAUCUACCUUCUAAUAAUCCUGUGCAGUAGCCACAACUGCAUAAUGAGCUCAAUCUUAGUAAAGCCAAAUUAGGAGUUUCUUUUUAUGUCUAUUCUUCCCAUUGUUGGUGGAUGGCCAAAAAGGUUACUGAAUUAGUAUUUUAACUGCUCCUUUUUUGGGAUGUUGUUUGCCUACCUUUAUUAUCUUGGAAGCGAGAGUUCCAUGAAGUCUCUUUUUACUUAGCUCAAAAACAUUUUUCAACUGAAGAUUCUUUUGAAGAUAAUUUUGUUGGAAUGAAAUUAUUUUCUUAACCUUCUUGCAGUGGUUGGUUGAAUCUGUUUGUUUCUAAGUGCUGAGCCAUUAUCUUGCGGCUCUGCUUUCCAUUCUCCUAUCAUUUAUAGUUUUGAUGAUUGACAUGUGGGUGUUUAUGUCAUUAGUAGCUAUUAGGGGGUGUUCGUCGGUUGGAAUGGUACGGUGUUUAGACAUUUCGGUUCGGUAUUUUUGGUAUUCGGUUUCUUAAAAUGUGAUGACAAUACUAUACCUAAUUAAUUCAGUAUGGUUCGAUUUCCGUCCUUUCGGUUUUGAUUUAUUUGGUUCGGUAGCUUCGGUUUGUUCAGAUUGGAUAGAGAAUUUUAACUUAUCUUUAUCUUUUAAAAGUAAAAAAUUCUUGAACGAACCACUAAAUCAAAGAAAGUACCUUUUAAAACUUUCAAUUUAUAGAGAGUGAACUGAAGGAAAGGUUCUCUGCAAAGUCAAGUUUACCUUUCCAUGAGCUGCAAAACUUCUCCAUAAUAGAGAGCGAUUAUACUAUAAAAGUGGAGCGAACUCAAGGAAUUUUGCAGCUCAUGGAAGAACACCUCCGAAUCAUCUCAUAUCACAAGAUCUGCAAACUCAUCACACUCUACCAAGUCCUAAAUGAAUUCACAGAUUUCAAGCAGCUUUUGGAUGUUAUAUUGACGGGAGAAAGAUACACCUUAACUAGCUAGCAAAAUUAAUAUUAUACAAGUCCUACUGCAGCAAUGAUUAGUAAAAGAAAAAAACCUAAGGAUAAAUGAAGUGAAAUUUUAGAGCUUUCCUAUAUUUAUGUUAUAAUAAAAAAUAUGUGUAUUGUGUAAGUUAGUAUGUAUUUCGGUACGGUAUCGGUAUUUCGGUAUUUGUUUUUCAAAAUACUAAAUACCAUACUACCAUACCGGAUACCAAAUUUUUUAAAAGCUUAAACCAAAUACUAUACCAAAUACCGAAAUACCGGAUACCAAAUACCAAAUUUCGGUUCGGUAACUCAGUAUAUACAAGAUGCUUAUUCUGCAACUGUAUAAAGGUAGACUAUGUUACAAAGACUUGGGUACAGUUAUUUGGUACAAAGGCACUUCAUUUUAGUAGGCCCUAAAAUCAACAUGCAUGUAUAAGGAUAAAAUGUAUUGACCUAGUAAAGUUUCUAGCGUGUCCCUUUUCGUACGUUUUAAGCCUAAAACAAAAUCUAAUCUUCUGAUUCUACUCUAUUACCCCUUGUUUUCUCUGCCUACCAUACUAGUGGUUUGUUAGUGAUGUAUACAUAGUGAAAAAACAUGAUAUAUAAUAACGAAAUUCAGCUUGGAUCAGAUAAACAUGCACUUGCCAUUUCAUCUGAUGUUACUGUGCUUGUCAAAUCGGCUUUUCAGGUGCAUAGGAUGCAGUGUAGCUGCAGUAGAUGGUCUGUGAAACCCCAAAUAAUUCCUCAUGUACAUCCACCUUUUUUAUUUUAAUUUUUCUUUUAGUAGGUCUUUGAACCCACCUUAUUUGGGACUAAUGCGUUGUUGUUGUAGGUCCUUGAAGUUACCGUCUUCUAAAGCAUUCUUUGUAGGUGGUGUAUGAUAACAUUAUGGCAGCGUGUUCUAGUAAGAAAUAAAUAUAGGGUAAAUUAGAGACAUGAAGUAUAUUAUGUUACGAUACCCUAAUCGGCUUGAAGUUGCAAUUUCUUAAUGUGCAAGAAACUUGAGUAGGUGAUUUGGAUGUUGUCUAUUCAUUUUGGAUUAAGGUGUUUGGUACAUUUCUGAUUAGUCUAUUAAGGGCCUGAACAAUUAUUUGGCAUUUUGAUGUUCUUAUGUGCUAACACCAAAAUGUUGAAGGUAAAUUUUCCAAUGAUCAAAACUGUACAUGUUUUUUUGCAAAAACAUUGUAUGGCACUUGGUGAACUUGUAUCUCCAUUUCCUUGUGCUUUAUUCACGUCAGUACAGUAUGUCCUUGACUAAAGACAUUCCAACUCCACCCAAGAUGAAUAUAAAUAAACAGGAAAAGGAAAAAAAGAAAAAAGAAAAGAACACUGGUCAGAGAAGAGGGGGAAGAAUGAGCAAAGACACAGGGAGGACAUGUAUUAAUUGGACUAUGUUCACGGGCUGACCUACAUUUAAAGAACAUUGGCUGUCAGAAUUUGUCAUUAAGUACGUGUAAUCUUAAUAUACGACUUUGGAUUCCUCAAUAUUUAUGUAUCUUUAUAUAAGUGAAAGGCUUGCUGUAAGACUACUUUAAUUGUUUGAGCUAAAUGAAGCUGCUAAUGCGUUUUGUGAGAUCAAAUUCAUGUUAGUUGGUCGAUAGUUGUUGAUGGUUUUGUUGAAUUAUCUAUCUUUCGAUGGUUGUGAUCUUUAUUCGGCUAUGCAGUGCAGUGGCUUGAGACAAGAAGCAAGGCAUUUGAACCCACUUACUUAUACACCAAAGAGAAGGUAUUGGUGUUGCAUGCUUGUCCUUCCUGUUGUUCAUUUAUGUUUCUUUUCCUAAACUAUUGCGGAUUUCUAAAGUUUGUCUUAUUAGUAAAUUUUUGAGUGCUACCAUUUCUUCCCAGGGUUACUUGUUACUACCCGAGGAAGCUAGGUUGCACCAUAACAUUCGCACAAUAAACAUAAGCAUCUCAGCUUGGCACUCCUGCUUUGGUAACAGGUCAGUUCAUACCCCUUCACUAAAAUUAUCACUUAAAUAGAUAAAGGUGUGUUCUAUGAUUUUCAUUUCGUGCUGUGAACUUCAGUCAGAAGGGCCAUGAUUAUGAUAUCUUUAGCACUUGAAUCAAGGUUGUCAAAAAAAAAAAAUUUUCAUUAUUCUUCUUAUUUUUUUAUUCCUUUUUGUUUUGUUUCCCAUUUAAUGUUUCUGGAGCUUGUUCUAUUUUCCUCUUACCACCGACGUGAUGGAAAAACAUGGGACAUGAUCAUGGACUUGCAAUACAAAUAAUCUUGCCUUCCCCUAUUUCGCUUUUAACUUCUUGCUUGAUUAGCAAAUCCUUCACCCAUAUGACAGUACUUUUGUUGUAUCACUAGUCAUUCAUAAACAAAUUAUAAACACAAGGAUUUCUUUACCCCAACACUUCCUUUUCUUCUUAUGCUCUCUUAUUUGUGAUUACUUGGUUGGUCAAAGUUGGAUUCUCUUCUUGAUUGAAGUUUAUAUCAAAAGAUUUUGAUACACUUAAGUUUUGAUGACUUAUUUAGGUAAAAACAUCAUAUUUAAAUAGAAAGCUUCUUUGUUCCAGGUGGCAGCAACUUCUUAUAAACAGACUUGUGGGAUAUGACACUAUUUUGAUGAAUAGUUUGUUGAAUUCUCCUGGAGAAGGUACUAAGUACUUCAACAUAUCAGCAACUUUUUGCCUAUGCAACUGUCUCACUUGAGUAACAGCAUAACCUUUGGUGCUACAUUUCUUUGUUGUGUUUUAUUUAUAUUUGCUAUAACUAUCAGUUCUGACUGGCAUAGAACUAUAGGAUAAACCAGCUAAGCCUAUCUGAUACUUAAAGCCAGAACCAAAAUAAAUGAGUAACAGUCUCGCUAUAAAUGGGAAAAUCAAAUCAUAUUUCACAUUCUGCUGAAUACAGAACCAGAACUACCUGCACAUAUAUUCAGUCUGAGCAGCUUGAAACACGUUGUGGUUGGUUUAAGCAGCUUAAAGAAAAAGAUGUGUGCACAAUAUGUAGAAUAAAAAUUUAUGGUUGAACAUAGUGGCACAUGAGUUCUUUGUCAUAUUUGUCCCCUACAUUUGACUUUCAAAAGUCAAAUAUGUACAUAUAUAAAUCAUGUGGAAGAUGAAUGAUUUUCAAACACUACAAUCAAUUAAUGCGCCUCAACUUGUACUAUAUAAAUCCUCUAUAUCCAAUGAAAAUAUCCUCUAUUUCAAGUGCGCUCUAUUUGGGCUAGAUUCAUUAGAAUACUAAAUAUUUCUCUUUUAAGACAAAUUUGGAGUUCUCUAAAAUCGGAGGUUCUCUAAAUAAUCAUGCCUACCGUAUAUUCACGUGAAUGUAGCUAACUAGACUAUAAAGACCUUUAAAGGAUUCAUCACAUUAGGGCUAUUUUUUUAGUUUUUAACAUAAAUGGUCCCUUAAGUUUGGGGUAUGUCCAUGUUGUCCCUAAAAUAUAACAAUGGAAAUAUUUAAUCCUUUAAAUUUGCUAAGUUUAAGUACUUUUAAUCUCCUUUAAUAGAAUGUCAAACUCCAUUUGUUAAAACUGACGGAAAAUUUCACCUCUCUAACCUCAACUCGGCUCUUCUUGAAGAAAAGAACAAAAGCACUCCCUUUUUUCUUCGUCAUUCCAAAACGAAGUGUCACACGAAUCCUUCCUUCAGAUGACAACAGCGCCAUGCGUCUCUUCCGCCUCACCAGUUCUAAUGAACUCACCCAAGAGAAUCUUACACCUAACUCCAGUUUUUUGUCAUCUUCCCAUUCCUUCCUGCUCUAUAUAAGCCCACAACAUAGGGACAAGUUUUACACAUACAGAGGACAUCAUGCAGAGCAACAUAACAAGAAAUAUAUACACUCAGGAUAAAGAGUUUCACAAUAGACAUAAACCCAGCUAAUAUUCUCAUCUCAAACAGGAGAGCUCACUGCCAAAUACAUACACAUUCAGUCACAUCCUAAAAAAUGAAAAAAGAUAUUUCACAUUCCCUCACCCCUUUUCUCCAUAAUCUCACGACAGAGACACGCAUGAGCGGAGUGACAAUUGGCGCCCACCUUCUGUGCAAUUUCAUCUGCAAUUUUAGUGUUUACUCACCACGCUCAAGUAGAGGGCUCAUAAAAGAGCAUAUUCACACAUAUACCACAUCCACACUGAGCUCAGCCGAGAAAACUGACACACGCAUUGCACCACAAUACGAUGCACAACUCAUCACUGCCAAAGAGCAGACACAGUCAGCUAUGAUACUCACAAGUGGUCUUCAGAUAUGACUAGCACUUGCAUUUCUUGUGACUUCUCCGUCUAAUAUGAGCUGUCUAGUAACGGCUCUUCCGACAAACAUAUUACAUUAAAAGAGACCAGACGUGCUCAAGUUUGUCAAGCAUUUAGAAUUAAUAUGCUCAAGAUUAUAUUUUAGGGACAAAAUUAGGCCUACCCACUAACAUUAGAGAUCAUUUGUGCUAAAAUCUCGCUAUUUUUCUGUGAUUGUCAACCUAUUGCAACUCUCUUCUUCUAUCCGUGCUGGAACCAGUGGAACGCAACAUAAAUGUAAUUAAUAUAUGGAACUUUUUUUUUUCUUCUGAUAUGUUUAAACAUGGAUUUGAUCUCUACUACCUUGGGAUUGAAGAGUUGUUCUUAUUGUUGUAUAAGUUCAAAUGGACAAGUGUACGUCAUGGAAUAUAGCAAUGUUAGAGUCCAAGUGUCAAAGAAAAUAGUAAAAAAAACAUUUUCCAGGUAUUUUACGUACAUAGAAAUAAAAAGCAAACUAGCAUGAGGGUUUAGCUUCUGGCAGUUGACAAAAAGUCAAUCUAGAAAAACUGAAGCCUGUAAAUUAGAAAACGCCAUAAAUAUGAUAAUCUAGAAGUUCAUGUAGUAUACAGUCAGGAGAGAUUCUAAAGGUGGAGUGAGGGACAGAUGUAUAAUUUUGCAACCAACGAAAUAAUGUGAAUAUAUGUGUACGCGUUCUUGCAGGUGUGAUAGUGCGUGCUUUCUUUGUUGGUUUUGUUUUUGUGGUUUUCAAAUACUCAAGGACAACCAAAUUCUGAUGGUUUUUUAAAAUUAAAAACCAUAUAUCUCCUAAUAUAAUGGACAAACCUGUAGAACUGCGGCCAAAGCCAAAUUCUAGAUGAAUAAUUGGUGUAUUUGUUCAAAUAAUUCUAUGGUCCAACGAACUUUCUCUAUCCCGAUACUUAAAAUGUUUGUGCGUUCAUUCAAACAUCAUCUUAUGAUACCUUUAUUCUAAAUCCUGAUAAUUAAAUCUUAGUGCUCUUCUGCAGCUGGUUGUCCCCCUUACUUGUGUAGCAGACUUAACUGAUUCUUAGCUUGAGCCUAAUUAGUUUUCACUUUUGCAUGCUUUCAAAGUGCCUCUAGUUUUGGAUUGGGAGAAUCCCGUAACCACUUGAUUUAUGAAGGUUUAUUUAAGUCUCUUUAGCAAAGCUUACUUUCAUUUUGUUGUCUUUCGUUGUGCUGAUGCUUCAUGGAAUUUUGUGCAGGUUAUCUUUAUAAUCACCAAACGAAGGAGUUCUAUAAUCUAACUUACGCUCAUGAGCAACCUGAAAGUUCUGCAAGAUUUGGAGGUGUGUCAUUCUUUUCUAUUAUCUGCCAAGUCUAACAUAAUGUGUUUAUGACGGGUUACUGCUUCCCAUUGUUUGAUUGAACUUUAUUGUGAAAAUUGGAAUUUACUUUUCCUUAGAUAUACUCAUCUCAAGGUUGUUUAACCCUGUACCAGUGUUAUCAAAGGCGAAAAGGUUGUAUAUGUAGUCCAAGACCAAUAAUUAUAAGCAUGAAUAACAAGUAUAUGGACAAAAAAAGUUGAAGAAAAAAUAACGAUAAAGUGAAAUAUCAAUUGUUCAGUGUCGCAUUUUCAGGAUUAUACUCAUGGGCAAGGAAAGUAUGCCUUAGAGCCUUGAUGCGACACUGAAGCGCCCGCAAAGCGAGGCGAAGCGCUCAACAUGUUUUGAGCCUCGCUUUAGGGCUUAAGCGCGCUUUAAGCGCUCCUUUGACAACACUGCCCUGAACCAUGUCAGGGUAUGGUGUCUAGUGACUUUAAACAAUGUGUUUUUUUUAGUUUUUUUGCUAAAGUGUAACACUUCCAUUCUGUCUAGCAUGUAAUGCAAUGGCGGGGUGUAGAGGUUUUAGUCUGAGGCAGUUAAUUCACAGAUGAACAAAAUUGUAUUACUUGAAAGUCAAGUUGCUUUCUUCUGUGUCUGAAUUUGAAUUUGUGUAACUGUUAUGUAAAUUCCAUCUGACAUACUGUAGUUGCAUUUGCAUGUAUACUGAUCAUAUGAAGCUUUGUAAUGAGCACUUCAAAUACACGUGGUUAGAUUUGUUAUGAGCACUUCAAAUACAUGUGAUUAGAUCUCAUCUGAGCAUUUGCUUUAUAUUUCUUGCAGACUACCUUGUCACGAAGUGUGGUGUACUCAUGAUGUCGCUCUUUGUUUUCUUUACCACAACAAUGUCAGUUUCAUUUACAUUAAGAGAGACCCAAACUCGCAUGCUGAAGUUCACGGGUAGUUUCUCUUUUUAUAUAUUUGAUGCUAUGAAAUUUAGCAGCAUCUUAUAUAGCGAAUUUAUAAUGCCAUAUAUUUUGGCAUCUGAAUAAUGUACAAUCAUAUUUUAAUUUUGGAACAAUCACAUGUCAACAUGAAAAACAAAGAAGAAAAAUAUGUUUGCUCCCAGGGAUUUUGUCUAUUGGUAAGAGCGUAGCAAGUAAUGUGUGGGUUAGGCACACAUCACGGGUUCGAGCCAUGCCACAAACAAAAGCCUGGUAUUUAAGAGAAGGGUAGAGGGGCGGACCUAUUAUCCACUGAGUUUCGAACCGCACGCCAUUGGCCCUCGGGGAUUUCUCGGUUAUCAAAAACAUAAUAAAGAUAUGGUUAUGCUGCUGCUGAAGUAUGAAGCACUCGUUCGUGUGCAAAUACCCUGUUAACCUUGUAUACUAAACGAAUGUUUCAAUCAUUGAUUCAUUGAGUAUCCACUACUUGCUGUUUGUUUUUGUUUGAUGUACCCUUCCUUAUCCUUUCUUAGACCUACUCUGUAAACUAUGUACAGUGCAGCUACAGCAUCAUGCUCGGCAUAGGCUUCCAACAUUUCAGUUGAUCUUUGUGCACGUAAUUGAGUCCCUUGUUUUUGUACCAGUAAGCAGACUGCUCAUUUCUCAGUUAAUUUCAUGUACAUCCGUUUUGUAGUUGGUGAAUGUUGGUUAUAUAUCUGAGGUCAUUCAGACAUAACCUAGAGUUCGACAUGCAGAUCAUGAUAGGCAUCCUAUUUUUUCUGUUCGAGUUCUAUGAUGAUCAGCUGCUGGCUUUCAUGGUGUUAAUUUUUGUUUGGCUGUGCGAACUGUUUACGCUAAUCAGGUCUCUCUCUCUCUCUCUCUCUAUAUAUAUAUAUAUAUGUGUGUAUGUGUGUCUUUGUCACACACUCUCAUACACAUAGACAUUGAUUACUCCUAUCUGUUAGUUACAAAUGACAAAUUCAGGUCGUACUUGGUAGAGGCCCGGGUUAUAUAACUUCCAGAUAAUCAAAACAUUGAAUGCUGUUUUGACUAUCCAAUGCAAUACUCAGUGAAAAAGCUGAUCCUUGUAUAGGAAAACCUAGAUAUUGGUCUUCUAUCCAUCUUUGAUACUAGUUUAUAAUGGAACCAGAGAAACGUGUCUAGUGGUGUAUUUCUGAGUGUCUACAUCCUGAUGGGUCUUAUAUAUAUAUGGGUGAUGAUAGUCCGGUCUAUAUCUAUUUGAUUAAAGGAACACAAUUCUACCACCUCUUUAAAACUGUUUUAAGGAAUUGUUAAUUUAUACUGCCUGAAAUUUUUCCCAAGAAAUAGUAGGGUAAUAAACUGGCUAAGAGAAGGGAGGAUGGUAGUUAUUAGCAUAAGAAUGGAAGAUAGUCUGGUGCUCCCUUAAUAACAGCCACACAUCCCCAUCUUGGAAGACCUCUAUCAGCAUUUGGUCAGGCUGCACUACUUUCACUCAAGGGGCUUAAUGGCUAAUUUCUUUCAUCAGCAGCUUUUGUCAGUAUUCUAUGUUGAUCAGAAGAAUAACCCUGUAAUCUUGUAUCUAUCAUUACUCGUGAAUGUAGUUUUACAUUUGCCGUCUUUUUUAUUUUUUGUCUUUUCUAUUGUUUAUUUGCCAAGAUAAACUUUCUGUGAAGGAGCACAGUAGGAAGGGGUUCUGUUCAUUGGAAGCCCUAGUUUCCUAGAGGAAAACCGAGGAAAAAUACUCUGCGGGGGGCUGAUUCAGCGAACCAAAGAAGUUCUUGACAAAACAAAAGGAUAAAUGUCAGUUAGAAUAAAAGGGUGAAUAACUGCAAAACUGAAUCUGGUUUGAUCUAUUUAUAAAAAAAGAGGACUGUAAGAACCCUAGUCCUUAAAUAAUCUAGGACUUGUAAUUGUGUAAAAACAAAAGAUAAGGAUGAAAAGGAAAGAAACAAGUAUAAUCCUGCUACCAAGAAAUUUUAUGAAAAAUAACUAAGAUAAAUAGCCGAAAUAAGAACAUUAACCAUUGAGGACUGCUAUAAUUUUGCUGUUACAGUAGCUCGAUGCCUGUGAAGAAGAUGGUAUUCAUCUAGGUUUUAGUGCAAAGGACAAUCUUUUGGGGUUGGCAGUCUGAUAUAAGGCUUAUCUGUAAGGAGGUUUAGUUAAAUAUGAUGACUUACUGUGAAGAAUUUUAUUUCUCAUGUACCAUCCUUUCUCUUAUUGGCUGUCUGAUAUGAUGAUUUAUUUGGUUAUCUCUUGCAGCGUACGCACACCAAUAUCAAUGAAGUACUUUCCCCGCUUCUUUUUGCUCUAUUUUCUGGUUUUCCACAUCUACUUCUUUUCUUAUACUUAUGGUAUGUCCAAAUGACUUGAUGUUUCUUGAGGGUCAAAUUCUGCUUAUUGUUCCUUAUAUGACAACAUGGUUUUAUCUUCUCAGGUUUUUCUUAUCUAGCACUAUCGACAACAGCUGCAUUUAUGCAACACCUUAUCUUAUAUUUCUGGAACCGUUUUGAGGUAGGAUGCAAAUUUCGAUAUUUAUAGUAGUUAGAGGAUUCUCUAUUUGUUUUAGGGGCUUUUGCUUUCUUUAACAAGUCUAGACACUAGAAAACUGUAAGAUUGUUUUAGGGGAUUUUGCUUUCUUUAACAAGUAGAUGGGUGUGUAUAUAUACUGUAUGCUUCCUUUACUUUCUAUAGUACAGUUACAUCUGAAAAAUGUGUUACUUGUGUUGGAAUGCUUGAGGGUUUGUAUUAUACUCCUUUGAUCCUGUACAAUCAUGUCCUACAUAUGUUGCAGGUGUUAAAAAACAGGGUGAAAAAGAAGGAAACAUUAAUUUCUUAAAACAUUUUUAGCACAAUUUUCAUCUUUGUUUAUUCCCCCGUGGAGAGGAAAUGUCAAACCAAAACUUUUAUCAUUAGGAGCGAAUCCCACUGACAGAAACACAAGAGGAAUAGCUAAUUGAAGUAAGAUGAUUAUCCUACAAUUUCCCUCAAUUUAAACACAGGUUUCUUCUGACAUAGUGUUCUCAAUUUGCCUAUGAAUUCAGAUUGAUAAUGAUAACCUCAUGCUUGAAUGUAUUUGCUUUGGGAAAUUCCAUGCUUGAUCCAUCUUUUCCUGGCUAGAUGGUAGCAAAUCUAACACUCGAUGGACUAGGUUUACUACUGAUUGAUGCUGAACAGUCUUCGCUUACACUUGAUCUCCAUUUGAAUUCCUGGCUUUCUUUCAAAUCAGAUGGGAGUUUAUCUGUAUCAAUAUCAAAUUGUUUUAAAAGGAAAAUGAACUUCUUAUCAUCUCAACCAAAUAUAAAUUGGGAUUUGUCCCCGUAUUUUUGUCGUUCAGGUUCCAGCUCUGCAGAGAUUUAUGCAAAAUAGACGCUCACAUUUUCAACAGCAUCCUGACUUUCAUAUCACAUCUUCUACGAUUCUUGCAUCAACUUUGCACAUCACAAGAUUAAAUGCAAGGAGCCCUGCUCCAACUAAUGUUGAUAUGCCUCCUGGUCCUGGGCCUAGAAUUGAUCCAUCAGUGCCAAGAAACGGUGCCGCUGAAUUUUCUGGAGUUCCAGAUCGACGAGGGAAUGGAAACCAAAAUGAGUUUGGUAAUCCUCUUCAACUUGGAGGGCAACCUGAUGCUCCCCAGUCUGAAACUGGAACUAAUCCUGGUUCUAUGAACUCAUUCAGCAACUUGUUGCUGUGGAUAUUAGGGGGUGCUUCUUCUGAAGGUCUAAACUCCUUUCUCUCUAUAUUUCGAGAUGUACGAGACCAUGGUCAAGUUUUUGCAGGACCACCUAGACAAGAAACUCAUGCCCCCCAAAAUGCUGAAUAGAUGGAAGCUGCAAUGUUGGGCAACCUAAGGUGUGUAGUGCACAAAAAGAGUAUUGGAAAACUAUCCAUGAGAAUGGUGAAAUGAGGCUAAGGAAUGAGGAAAGUAGGCUUUCAUCGUCUGGGCAGAUAUGGCGAGAUUGUAGAGAAUUCGGUAGUUGAUGAGCCACCGAAGGGAAAACUUUUUUCCACCCUUAACUUUAUGUACAGCGUAGGAAUUGAAGAUGUGGAAGGAGGAUGUAGAAAACCUCCUCCUUUAUGGAAAUUAUGUAAAUUUAUUUCAUUGUCAUCUAUCUUUUUCCUCUUUAAAAAUUGUGUCUAUAUUAGUUUGCAUCUUAUACAUGCUUGCCGUUAUUGUUCUGUAUAUCUUGUAUUCAAGUUGUCUUCCCGUGUUCUUAUACUUUAUGUUCAGAUUCUUGGUCAUAUACUUUUUUUUUUUUAANNNNNNNNNNNNNNNNNNNNNNNNNNNNNNNNNNNNNNNNNNNNNNNNNNNNNNNNNNNNNNNNNNNNNNNNNNNNNNNNNNNNNNNNNNNNNNNNNNNNNNNNNNNNNNNNNNNNNNNNNNNNNNNNNNNNNNNNNNNNNNNNNNNNNNNNNNNNNNNNNNNNNNNNNNNNNNNNNNNNNNNNNNNNNNNNNNNNNNNNNNNNNNNNNNNNNNNNNNNNNNNNNNNNNNNNNNNNNNNNNNNNNNNNNNNNNNNNNNNNNNNNNNNNNNNNNNNNNNNNNNNNNNNNNNNNNNNNNNNNNNNNNNNNNNNNNNNNNNNNNNNNNNNNNNNNNNNNNNNNNNNNNNNNNNNNNNNNNNNNNNNNNNNNNNNNNNNNNNNNNNNNNNNNNNNNNNNNNNNNNNNNNNNNNNNNNNNNNNNNNNNNNNNNNNNNNNNNNNNNNNNNNNNNNNNNNNNNNNNNNNNNNNNNNNNNNNNNNNNNNNNNNNNNNNNNNNNNNNNNNNNNNNNNNNNNNNNNNNNNNNNNNNNNNNNNNNNNNNNNNNNNNNNNNNNNNNNNNNNNNNNNNNNNNNNNNNNNNNNNNNNNNNNNNNNNNNNNNNNNNNNNNNNNNNNNNNNNNNNNNNNNNNNNNNNNNNNNNNNNNNNNNNNNNNNNNNNNNNNNNNNNNNNNNNNNNNNNNNNNNNNNNNNNNNNNNNNNNNNNNNNNNNNNNNNNNNNNNNNNNNNNNNNNNNNNNNNNNNNNNNNNNNNNNNNNNNNNNNNNNNNNNNNNNNNNNNNNNNNNNNNNNNNNNNNNNNNNNNNNNNNNNNNNNNNNNNNNNNNNNNNNNNNNNNNNNNNNNNNNNNNNNNNNNNNNNNNNNNNNNNNNNNNNNNNNNNNNNNNNNNNNNNNNNNNNNNNNNNNNNNNNNNNNNNNNNNNNNNNNNNNNNNNNNNNNNNNNNNNNNNNNNNNNNNNNNNNNNNNNNNNNNNNNNNNNNNNNNNNNNNNNNNNNNNNNNNNNNNNNNNNNNNNNNNNNNNNNNNNNNNNNNNNNNNNNNNNNNNNNNNNNNNNNNNNNNNNNNNNNNNNNNNNNNNNNNNNNNNNNNNNNNNNNNNNNNNNNNNNNNNNNNNNNNNNNNNNNNNNNNNNNNNNNNNNNNNNNNNNNNNNNNNNNNNNNNNNNNNNNNNNNNNNNNNNNNNNNNNNNNNNNNNNNNNNNNNNNNNNNNNNNNNNNNNNNNNNNNNNNNNNNNNNNNNNNNNNNNNNNNNNNNNNNNNNNNNNNNNNNNNNNNNNNNNNNNNNNNNNNNNNNNNNNNNNNNNNNNNNNNNNNNNNNNNNNNNNNNNNNNNNNNNNNNNNNNNNNNNNNNNNNNNNNNNNNNNNNNNNNNNNNNNNNNNNNNNNNNNNNNNNNNNNNNNNNNNNNNNNNNNNNNNNNNNNNNNNNNNNNNNNNNNNNNNNNNNNNNNNNNNNNNNNNNNNNNNNNNNNNNNNNNNNNNNNNNNNNNNNNNNNNNNNNNNNNNNNNNNNNNNNNNNNNNNNNNNNNNNNNNNNNNNNNNNNNNNNNNNNNNNNNNNNNNNNNNNNNNNNNNNNNNNNNNNNNNNNNNNNNNNNNNNNNNNNNNNNNNNNNNNNNNNNNNNNNNNNNNNNNNNNNNNNNNNNNNNNNNNNNNNNNNNNNNNNNNNNNNNNNNNNNNNNNNNNNNNNNNNNNNNNNNNNNNNNNNNNNNNNNNNNNNNNNNNNNNNNNNNNNNNNNNNNNNNNNNNNNNNNNNNNNNNNNNNNNNNNNNNNNNNNNNNNNNNNNNNNNNNNNNNNNNNNNNNNNNNNNNNNNNNNNNNNNNNNNNNNNNNNNNNNNNNNNNNNNNNNNNNNNNNNNNNNNNNNNNNNNNNNNNNNNNNNNNNNNNNNNNNNNNNNNNNNNNNNNNNNNNNNNNNNNNNNNNNNNNNNNNNNNNNNNNNNNNNNNNNNNNNNNNNNNNNNNNNNNNNNNNNNNNNNNNNNNNNNNNNNNNNNNNNNNNNNNNNNNNNNNNNNNNNNNNNNNNNNNNNNNNNNNNNNNNNNNNNNNNNNNNNNNNNNNNNNNNNNNNNNNNNNNNNNNNNNNNNNNNNNNNNNNNNNNNNNNNNNNNNNNNNNNNNNNNNNNNNNNNNNNNNNNNNNNNNNNNNNNNNNNNNNNNNNNNNNNNNNNNNNNNNNNNNNNNNNNNNNNNNNNNNNNNNNNNNNNNNNNNNNNNNNNNNNNNNNNNNNNNNNNNNNNNNNNNNNNNNNNNNNNNNNNNNNNNNNNNNNNNAUAUAUUGGGGUGAGGCGGCGGUGCCGCUUUGUGUGAAAAUGGGUAUUGUGUUUACACCUCCACCUGCAUACAUUGGGGUAAGGUGGCAGGGCCGCUUGAGUAUAGAUUUGGUAUUGUGCUUACACCUCCACCUACAUACAUUGGGGUGAGGAAGCGGGGCCGCUUUGUGUGAAAAUGGUUACAGAGAAUCUCACCCUAAAUUCUAUAAAUGUUAAUGACAGCUCUUGAUAAGCUUGCUUUGGUUUAAACGGCUAUCUAUGAUAUUCUAUUGUCGCCUUGAUUCAUCAUAUUCAUACUGUAUUUUCGAGUUCUUAAAUUGGUGUUUGGUUUUCAUACUAAUACUAUUCGACAUGUACUAACGUCCCUUUUUUUCGGGGGAACUGCAUCUUUAGUGGAUGUAGGUGGUUCCACAGCGGAGGAUACUGACUAGUGAUAGCAAUGCUCAUUCUUCCCAGCUGACUUGGUGAGCCCCAUCUCAUUCCGGGGUUGUGCAUCUUUUAUUUCGUAUGUUUUAUCGUGUUUUGAGGUAUAGCCAGAGCCUUAUUUCCGGCACUAUCAUUGUACUCUUUGUAUUUUUAGAGGCUCCGUAGACUAAGUUUGGGUUGUAUAUGGGUGGUGUGACUAUUAAACAAGUUGUGUUAUGAUUAAAUCACUCGUUCCACUUUGAACCAUGAAGGGGUGUGUGUGUGUUUUGAGAAUUAUUAAAUGAGAUAACUAAUGGUAAUGAAUUGGUAUUGUAGACAUGAUCACCUUAUUGUCUAAUUAACGAAAAUAUGUAUUAUCCUUAUUCAUGGAUGAGUUUGGGUAGAAGGAAAUCUAAUAGGCUUGCUCGACCGGGUUCACUCGGUUGAGCGCAGGUCGCGCUCCCUGAGUUUGGAGUGUGACAUGUGGAUAGAGGGAUUUGGUGGAUUUACCGGGGUUACUGAGGUAUGACUUGAGUUGUGGGGACUAAAGUUGGGUGUUGUUGUUUUGGCGUGAUGUGGAAGGAAAGUGGUCAAGAAUUGAAUCUAACGAAUGAAAGCGGGGUGGUUGAGGGAACGUUGUCAUGGCCAGAUGUGCUAAUUCCCUGAUAUGAUGUACUUCCUCCCUUAAAGACUCAAUCUCCUGGGCCAUCUUAGCCACAUGUUCAUCAUUCUAGGUAUCUUCCUUCUCUCCUGAUCGCCCCGGGCUAUUGGCUAUGACCAGAGCAUGUUCAAUCGAGUUUUCUGUAGCAGACAUCUUUGCCUUUGAUCUUAGAUUGUACGAUGGUUCCCCCAAUUUUGGGUCGACAUAAACCAACUUUUCUUUUAUGGAGUAAUAAUAAAGUAAAGAAAAAUAAACAAAAGUCAGUUUCUUCAUUUAUAUAAGCAGGAAAUCACACAAAGCAAUUAAAUCACGUAUUCAUGCUAGUGCAUUUUCUUAGAAUUCAUGGGACCACUCAUUGCCGGCGGUAGGCCUAAAUCGCAGAGGUUUGACAAACAAUUAGACUUGACACAUUUAGAUCCGAAGCAAUUUUUUUUUCUUUGAUAAUGUUAGGACUGAGUUAAGUGGGAACAAAGGUUACAUCACUAUUUCUGAUAUUCAUAGAACUGCAUGGGCUUAAACAACUUGCCCUUUAGGAUAGUAAGAAAAAACUGGGGAUAAGGGUACAAAUUGGGAAAGAAGGGAAAAUCAACCAACAUCUAGUAACCAUCCCCGGAAUCAUUUCCCAUCUCCUAUUCUUCUUCUGGCUCUUCCUCAGGAUCUUCCACCAGGUCUUUUUCAAACUCCUCCUCAUCAUCGUUGAACUGAGACCCUUCCUUUGGAUCUUCUUCCGGCUCUAUCCAAGACUCUAUUUGGAUGCACUCCACUACCCGAUCAUCGUGUUCAGCAGGUGGCAACAUGUGAUCGAUGGAUCCUGGGAACACUUGACGGUGCAUUGAAGUAGUCACAAAGUAAUGUGGCAGAAUCUCUUGGUAGAUUUGCAAAGCAGCCAAUGUGUCCUCUAGUCAGGCUAUACCCUCUCUGAUUGGUCGGGCUAGCUCGUCUUCCUCGUUGAUCCAGACCUAAUACUUAGGAGUACACCAUAACUUUUGACCCAACGGCAUAGUGAUCAGAUCAUUCCACUUUUCUUGGAGUCAUCUUAUCCUAAGGAUUGGAAUAUAUCCGUUGUAGUCAUCCACAUAUAGCGAUGUCCUCGUCCAUAGAGGCAUGUCCAGGAUUAUCCCAAACUGUCUGAGAACCCGCAAGGGUGAGUAUGGUUGGAUGCCCUCAAGUCUGAUCAACUCAAUGAAAUAUUUAUGAGGAGUCCUUAAGAUUGCCCUCCCUCCUAACCAUGACAGCUUCCAGUUGACCCAUUCUCUACUUAGAUUAGUCACUAUUUCUCUCCACUCUUCUUGCCCAUGCGGGGAGACCCAGUGUCUCAUCCUCUCAUUGUGGCUGCGGAUCAUGUUGCUGAUGCCCACUAAGUAGUCAAUGGUGGCCUCUCGCUGGAAUAAAUGUUUUGUGGCCCAUAUCUGAAGUUGCAACUUACAACCCUUAAAGAAAUCAUACCCCCAUGCACAUGCAGACAAAGCUCUUGGAAUCUCAGCUAACACCAUCGGCACCAGAGUAGCUUGAAGGUUACCAUGGAAGGUUGCCAGAACCACGGGUAAUAAGUUGAUGUUGAUCCGACCCCUCCUCUACGGGAAGACCAACAAUACCAACAGUGCUAAUGAGAAAGUGAUAGGCCUGAGACUCUCCCACGUUGCUUGAUCACACUAAAACUUUCCCGAAUACCACUCAUAGCUUUCGCGAUGUCCAAAUCUAUCGAACAGCUGAUCUAGGCUCACCCAUCCGACCUUGAUAUUUCUCAAACCUCGGCUGUUAGCCAUACCCAAAGCAUCCAAGAACAUAUAAUUGGACAUAGUGACUGGUAGUAUUGCCUUCCUUUCUAUGAAUGGCAGCUCCGUGAAACUAGUAACUUCUUCCAAUCUCGGUACUAAUUCACAGUCAGCAAAUUUGAACACCACCUUGGCCGGAUCCCAGAACUCUAUCAGUAGGCGAGUGAGCACCAUGUCUACUUGGAUGUUUAGCAAAGCGGCCAGUGCCCCCAGGUGUGUCCGAAUCUCAUCUCCAUUUUUUCGGCGAAUGUUCUUCCACCACUUCUUCAACUUGUGUGGUGCUCCUAUCACCAUGUAAAUCUCGGGGAUGUUUUGGUUGAUUUUCAUUUUAUGAAGUGGGUAAAGAAAGAUUUUUGGUAAGUGUUUGUUUCGGAUCUUUAGAUGUCUCAUCAGGUUUGUUCGUCUUUCCACAGAAGUCAUGUCGUUGGGUGCAUGACCCAUUGACAUUAUGGUAGUUUUCCUAAUUAUGUGUCAAUGCCAAUGACCAACUCACCUAAGGUUUAUCUAAUAUGACCUAUUUUUGCUAGAGUAGAGUGUUUCCUACUUUUGAGUUGGACUGAAGACUGCGAGAAGUUAUGUCAGUUGACCUGACAAAACCAUUCUCUGAUACUAGAGAGUUUUGAAAAGAAGGUUCGGAGGGGUGUAAAAGAUAACCCUCUCAUGCCAUUGUGUGUGAUAGUGUACGGCCAAGACUCGAUAGGAAGAAACGUGAUGAUAGUAUAUGUAAAUAGGUAAAGGAUAAGGGUGUAGCAACAACCACCUAAUAUUUAAAGGUAUAUCAGGGUACCUAUUUAAUUACUAAAUGUUAUAUUCUUUACAAGUCUGCUAAUUGGUGAGAUUAUGGGUAAGGGUUCUUGUUCUUCUAAGGGAAGGUGUUAGGAAUCCCUUAAAAUCUACAUGAGGUAGCUCCAUAUGACUUAGACUAGAUUUAGGACUAAUUGUUUGUGCUAUGCCUUAACUAGUGUUCAGAAAAGUAUAGCUUACCAUAUAUUAGGAUAUAAUAUCUAUAAGGGAUGAGUGUAUUUUUAAAAGGAAAUGAUUUUAUGAAAAGAGUCUUUGAAGAUAAUAGUUAUAUAUAUAAUUGAAAGAGUUUAAAAUAUGUUCAUGAUGAUUUAUAUUUAUGAAUUAUGUAAAAAGGGACUAAGUUAUAAAACACUUUGUAUCUUAAAAAUAUGGUUGUUUUAUGUAAUAAAAUAAAGAUGUUAUAUGAAAAUGAGCGUAGGAUGUACCUUGCUUUCAAAAUCUCAAUUCCUACACUUGAGGAAGUCGUUUGAAAAUUUUUCGCUGAUUGGCGACACUUUGUUUUGAAAGGUUCGAUUUUCUUUUAGAAGACCAGUAUCAGAUUCCAUUUUUUUGUUUUGAAAAUAGAUAUUGUCGUCCUUUGCUAAGCUAUUUUUGACUUCAAAACUUUCACGAAUUGUUAGUAAGGCAUAAGAUAUUAAUGACAUGAGCAGUACAGGUUAACAAACAAAAAAUAAUAAUUACUAUUUAGUCUAUUAUUACUUUUAAUCCUAUGUUCUUUAUGGCUUGCCUAAGUUGCUUACAUAAUUCAAAGGAUGAAGAAAAAUAUUUUAAUCAGAUAUGAUAAGUGCAGUGUCAUAUACAUGUAAGGAAAUAUAAAUAACAUAAUAUAAUAAAGCAUCGAGGAGUAAGGAAGGCCUCUCGUUUGGUCCUGAAAAAGGUAGGCCCAGCAAACAGUAGGAAUGGAUAUUAGUGGGCUUCAAACUCCCAAGUGCGCGGGUAAAGAUUUAGGCCUGAGUUCUUUUGAAAACUCAGCAGGCUCAAUUUUUAUACAUGUUCAAAAAUAAAGCGAGAAAGUCAUCAGAUAUAAUACACUAUACAAUCAUACAUGACAUAUAUAGGUAAAUGACUUAAACAAAAUAUAACAAACCGAUAGUAAUUUGAAUUACGAGAGUUCAUACUAAUGUGGGGUCACCUAUGGCGAAGUGAGUUACUUUGAAGACCUUUUGUUGUCAUUAAACACUAAACCUAAAAGGAGUAAUAAAUGUCAAUAGAUUAGAGGCUAAGGGUAGAGUUCUGUUCAAGGCCAAGACUCUUUUUGGAUCCCUGACACUUUAAAGUUUCCAAGGGUCUCAAGGCCCGGGGCAGUGCUUGUGCCAGGCAGAGUAGCCCAACCAAUAGUUAAACUCUACUCCCAAAUACCCCUAACCACUCACACUCAUUCUUCCCUACAGGUUUAAGUGUCAAUAAGGAAUAUUCAAUAUGAAUACCAACACCAUAGUAAUACCAUGCCACAUAAGCACAUAUAUAGAAUACCACAAGACAACCUAUUCAUAUUAUUAUAACCAUAUUUCAAAGAUAAAUGGAUGAUUCAUUAUGAGUAAUAUGCUAAGCAGGUUCAAAGAAAUCAGCUCCAAACACACAUAGAGGGAGGAAUAUUAUCAUAUUACUAUUAAAGAAUUAAAACAUAUGAGAUCAUAUAUCUUAAGAAUAGGAAAGCAUAUAUCCCCAGUUUGCAACAAUUACGAACACAAACACAUAUGCCCUAACAAUCUUCAAUUAGACCAAUCAAAUAUUGGUUUUAACUUAUGCCUUGCAUACACAUAGGUUAACAGCCCCAGUUGAAUCUCCUUAAAGUAUUCACAAAGAUAUAGGAGAACAUCUUCGAUUAACUUCUAACGGGGAUUAGGAGAGGGAAGAUUGACAACCAUAGUUAAGCCUCCUGAGGAUUGUUAACAGCACUACAGGUUAAUCACUAUAGCUAAUGUUCUCUAAAGAGUGUCAAUACAGAUAUAGGUCAACAACUCCAAAUAGAGAUACAGAUCAAUAACUUUUAUUAAGAGGCACAAGUUGAUGACUUCAAUAAAAACAUUCAAAAAGUUUUAACAGAGGUUCAAAGACAAUGCAGGCAUGUAUGUGAUCAUGAAUGACAAACAGAGGCACCGGAGAACAAUAAUGAGUGCAGGAUUACAAGAACAUAGACAAAGGACACUUAGCAGAGGAUAAAUUAUGCAAGUAUUACUAACAACAUCAUCAGAUGAAUUCCAAGAAAAUGAUAAGGGUAUCAUUACAUUGAAGAAACAUGUUAAGCAUAUCGGGGAUAGGAUCUUAGGUAUGAUGGAACUUAGCAACACUAUUUUAGUUAAACAAAUAUGUUAAUACAUCUCAUCCUUACUCCAUGGCUUAAACUAAGUGUAAUGUAAUCUCAGAACAUACACAAAAGUGAUACAAAGAUCCAACUAGAUUAGGGCGGGCAUGCAUAAACAGCCAUGAGUUUAAUCAAGUGAUUAACAGGAUCAUAGAGGCAUAUUAAAGAGAUAAGAACAGGUUUAGAGUCAUGAUCUGGUAUUUCGAAACUAAGGUAGCAAACUAGUUUUCAUUGAAAUGAUUCAUACUUUGUUCAAAUCCGGACCAGUAAGUGAACGACAAAGUAACAUUCGAAGUAGAUAAGCAUAAUAGUAAGAAUAAUGCUAAUAGAAUCAUUAAAGAGGUCUGGAGCUAGGUAUUAGAAACAUAGAGAAGUUCUUUAGCCACUUUCAAAGUUAACAGCAGACAUGAGUCAUCGAAUACACAUCAAUAUCAACAUAUAAUUCUGAUUUCAGCAACUUAAGAAAGUUCAUGAUAGCUGAAUCUACUUAACAUUCGUACACAUACAAAACAGUAAAAAAUAAUUAACACAUUACUUGAUAAAAUUAUUCAGCAAAGGUAGUAAAGCAUGUCAUAUUCAGGAAUUUGAACUAGUAAAUGAAGAAUAAGGUCAAGGUCUUACUGACCUUUUUGGGGGCAGCAGACCAAACGAGUGUUCAAAUUAUCCUUUAGGAAAACCAAGAGCUCAAGCUCUCAAUCAGUAUCACACUCGAAAUCAGAAAGAGAGGAAAAGCUGAAAUUGAUCAAAACAUAAACUUUUAUCGAGAUUUCCCAAACAAGUAUUAAAUUUUCAAAUGCUAAGUGUAGUUGGUAGGUAUAUCUUGUUGUGUGUUAGGUCUAGUUGGUAAGAGCAAUGAAAGCCCUAUAUAUAGUGGCCAUCGAGCCAUUAGGGUUUCAACAUAUUCAAAUCGAUAGUGGAAGAUGACGAAAGACGGAUGAUGAUAGCAAGGAGGGUGAAAUCAGACUAAAAACAGAGGGAAAAUGAUGAAGAAGUUUACCUGAGAGGAGGAAUCGACCGUUGAAAGCAAAGAACCAAUGAACAAAUCCUAAAACCCAGAGGUCACUGCAUUUGACCUCUGGGUAUAGAAUUCUCAUGAUGAAUCUCUGAAGAAGCUCCUAACGAGCGCAGAACACACACUUAAAUAUGCUCGCUAGUCAAAUAUAGUAUAAUAUAAUGUCGUAUCGACAGGGAUUGGAGUUAAAUAGUAUUUUGUAGUUUAUAGCUUGGUUGUUAUCCAAGAUGAUCAACAGUUGAGAUUUGUGUGAUUAAAAACUAUAAUUAACUAAAAGUCUAAACUAUUGGCUAAUGACAAUCGCGACAAGAGUAAGCAAAGAAGAUAUCAAUGGUAAAAAUAGGAGUUGAUUGGAUAGGUGCAAGAUACUUGUCUGGGAUUUAACUCUAGUCAAUUCACUUAUAAGGUUCAAGUGAGUCUCUUGAAUUCACUCAAUUAUUAGUUCAAACGUUCAGUGGAAACUCCUCUCUCGAUUAAGUCUAAACCUCACAAGAUGAACUAAGUUAAGCUCGGUGAAGAUAUGCAAGAAUUCAUAGUGGAUUGGUCUUUCGGAGAACUUCUUCCGAUUAUCCUCCUAACUAGGUCUAAACAAUAACUCAACUAGCCUCUUUCGAUUACUAUGAAGAAUCAAUCAAUUCAACCAACAAGAUAAUGCAAAAACAUCACAAGUUAUGCCUCUUUCAAUUACAUGAACAUAUGAAAAUAGAUGUAACCUCUUGUAGGCAGACUAUUCCUUGGUUGUGGACUAUGAAGAUAUGUUUAGAAUUAGAUAGAUGAUAGUAUGUGUUAUAGAUAGGUUACUAUGGACUUUUAGAAGGUUAUUUACCUUUUUGGGGAUGAUUGGAAUUGGUUUGGGGGCUAUUGGUAGGCCUAAUGAGAAGGUGUAUUCUAUAUUAGAUUGGGUUUGCUUACUCUUACACAAAUUUUAUCAUAGGUAUAUCAUCGGGCAGAAUGGAUGUUCUUCAUGCCCUGGCCUAUGUUAUGUGUUUCUCUCUUAUGCUAUGAUGGGUUGUGAGGCUACUUGAUUAUUCACAUGUAUGUUGUGAUCCUGUUUAGGCCUUGUGGCGAUAUAUGGGCGAGUUGGCUCUUGUGAUGUUGAUUUGCUUAUUGCACCUUAGUCGUGCUUUCCUUUUUUCGUAUUGUAUUAUGCCUAUUCAUCUCGCCGCAAUUAUAUUCAUGCACUCUAUCAUGCUUGAUGUUGACGCACAUGUGCUUAGUGAGAACGAGCAUUAUGACUCGAUGGGUAUCCCUAUGUGGAUUGAUAUGUUUGGGAUCGGGUUGCGCGCUAACUGAGUUAUGUGGGAUACCCUUCCUUGUGUUUAUUUCGUGUGUUUUGUUUUCCCUUUGUGGGACUUUUGUUGUUAUAUAAAUUGCACUUGUUGGAUAGUCCUCUUAUCUUGUUUUCUUUCUAUUAUCGGAUAUAUAUGAGUUAUUGUCUGCUUGGCGUAUGGACAACAUUGUGUGAGGUUCCAUGUAGCCUUUAGUGAGACUUGCCAAUCAAACAACCUGUACUAGAUGCGACAAGGUUAGUAGACCUGGAUAUUGCACAAUUGGGCUGGGAUAAGACAUGUUUGGAACAAGAAUGUCACUAGUCAGCUUAGAACAUGGCAAUGGUCCUUACCGGACGAGAGAACUCCAUGACUUAUUAAUUUCAUGGGUGGUUAUGAGUACCUACAUGGUUCUUUCAUUAUUAGCGGUGUCGUGAAGGUUCGAAACGAGAAUUUAUUUGAUAUGUGGUAUAUUAUCAGUACCGAGUUUAUAAUGAGUAACUAUUGUGGUCGGAAGUUAUUGUUGUGAGUACAUGAGUUAUGUGGUGCAUCGUGUGGUUUAAUAUUGGUAGUGUAUUGAUGGCUUGAUGCAACUUGUUGAGAUUGAUACAGUGUAUAUAUAAAUGGAUCAGAUCUUAUAGGGGAUUCCGGAUGUUGGAAUUUGGUUCCACGCCUUAUGGGCUAAUGUAGAAGGAAGAAUCUUCAGUCGGGGUCAUGUUCAUCGACUUAUAUGGACCGAGGUGGAAUGGAAUCACUCAUAGGCAUGUGUAUGAUGAGUUUAUACAGCUAAAUGAUGGCUUUGGAACGACUCAUGGCACUUUUGAGGACGAACAUAUGUUUAAGUGGGGGAGAAUAUAACGACCCGACCGGUCAUUUUGAGUAUUAGCUUCCCUUUAUGUGUUUUGAAACUUUUCAUAGCUCUAUUUUAUGAUUUAUGACUUCCGUACGUGGUCCGCGUCCAUUUUUGAAAAACUUAAAUGUGAAUUUUAUAAAGAAAAUAGCAUUGAAAAUGAUUAGAGUUGACCACGAUCAACAUUUUUGGUAAACGACCUCGGAUCGGUAUUUUGAUGAUUCUGGUAGGUUCGUAUGAUGAUUUUGGACUUGUACGCAUAUUUGGUUGGGGUCCUUGGCGAACCAAGGUCGUUUCGGCGCUUUAUGUGAAAAGUUGGAAAUUUGAGUUUAAACUUCAAAAUCUUGAGUUUUAGUGAUCGAUUUUUGAAUUUAGAUGUUAUUUUGAUGAUUUUAGCUCGGGAAUGAGUUUGUAUGAUGUUAUUACACUUGAGUGAAUAUUUGGAUUGGAGUCCGAGGGGCUCGGGUGAAUUCUGAAUAGGUUGCGGACUGAUUUUGGCUUAACAGGUAACAACUGGUGUUCAUGGAAUGCAGGUCUCGCAUUUGCGAGGACCUGUUCGCAUAUGCAACCUUCUCUUUUGAAAAGUUAGGCUCACAUUUGCGAUAUUGGGUAGGGGCAGGUAUGCUUCGCGAUUGUGAAAUAGUGGUCACUUUUGCGAGUUAGAGGGAAUCGCAUUUGCGAUCUAUACGUCGCAUUUGCUACAGUGGGCUGGGCUGGACAACUUCGCUAAUUGCGAAGCUUUGAUCGCUUUUGCGAUGCAUGGAUGCUUCACAAAUGCGAAGGUUAGAUCCCAUUUGCAACAUCAGAAAGGCUUAGGCAUUGAUCGCAUUUGCGAUCAGUGGUUCACAUUUGCGAACGUCGCAAUUACGAACAAGGCUUCGCAAUUGCAAUACCUGCAGUUGGGUAAAAGUUGGAAAUUCAGGUUUAGCUCAUUUUACACCAUUUUGAGACAUAGACUCCAUGGUGGCAAUUUUUGGAGAAAAAUGUCUUCCCAAUUUCAUAGGUUAGUAACUUUAACUUGUUUUCAUUCAAUUUCCAUUACUAUUUCAUGAAUUUUAUUAUCAAAUCUAAGAUUUAUAGAGUAGAAAUUGGGGUUCUGGGUAGAAACUAGAGAUUUUGUAAAAUUAAGAUUUAGACAUUAGAUUUCAAAAUAAAUUACAUAUUCGGGCUUGGGGAUGAAUGGGUAAUCGAGAUUUGGUCUUAAUUUCGAAUUUCGACCACUUGGCCCGGGCUAACAUUUUGUUGACGUUUUUAAUUAUGUUAAAGAUUGAACUUUUCUUGUACGGAGGUAGUCUCUAAAGCUUAUUUUAACUUGUUUGAACAAUAAUUGACUAGAUUCGGGUGGUUUGGAAGAUUGUUCCAAAGGAAAAGCCGUGUGAAUUGUGGAAUUUAUUCCGAAAUGAGGUAAGUGUCUUGCCUAGCUUUGUUGAGGGAAUUUUUUCUAAUAAAUGAUAUUGUUUGCUAUAUGCGGGGGUUGAUGCAUAUGCAAGGUGACGAGCGUAUAUACAUGUGCAAUGGUUUUCAUGCCCCCCCCCCCGGGGGGGGGGGUAGUACGAUGGUUUACUUNNNNNNNNNNNNNNNNNNNNNNNNNAUAUAUAUAUAUAUCUAUGUGUGAAUGUGUNUGGGGGGGGGAUCAGGUUGCACGCCGCAACAGUACUGGUAUUGAUAUAUGGUUUAGGUUGCACGCUGCAAGGGAAAAGAUGAAUUGUGGUUAUUCUUAGUUGUUAUAUUUCGCCACCAUGUUGUGUUGUAUGGUUGUGAUGUUAUGAUUUUCUAGGGCUCUCUGUCAUUUCCUUUCUUGUUCUGUUUAUUAUGUAGUUAUUCGUUUCUCUAUCUCGUUAGUGCUUCUCUACUUAUCAUCUGUACAUGUAAAAGUAUUAGGUGACUAUCUUUUAACUUAAAAACUUGUCACUAGUUCACCGAGGUUAGUCAAGAUACUUAUUGAGUAUAUGGGAUCGGUUUUACUCAUACUACAUUUAUACACCUUGCGUGCAGAUCUCGAAGGUUGUGGAAGUUGAACCUUGCAUUGAAGAUGUACCAACGUUCCAUAUCAAGCUACCUCUUGUUCAUAGUAGUUUAGGACUUCAUUUCUCCUUAUGUAAACUUCAAACAGAUACUGUAUUUAUUCUUUAUAUCAAUUUGUAAUCUAAAUCAUAGUGGCUUAUGAUCUGUAUUACCAGUCCUUGGGAUGUUGUAUAUAAUUGAGUCAUAUUUACUCCUUGUUAUUAAUGAUCUAUCACUUAAGUUACCUUGUUUUAUGUUUGGCUUACCUAGAACUGGGGUUAGGUGCCAUCGCGACUAGGUGGAUUUCGGGUUGUGACAAGAUAGUAUUAGAGUACUAGGUUUAUAGGUUCUACGAGUCAUGAGCAAGUGCCUAGUAGAAUCUUGCAGAUCGGUAUGAUGACGUCUAUACCUAUCUUUGAGAGGCUACAACGUAUCUAUGAAACAUCCCUUCUUUUUUUCCUUAUCGUGCGACUUGUUUUAGCUUGAUGCCUGUAUACUCUAUUUCUCCUAUUCACUCGUAUGUGAUGUGGCGCACUUCGAAUCAGCUAUAUGUCGACUGCUUGUGAUGCUACAGAUGGACUAUGAGGGCUAUGGAUGCUUGAUCAUCGUCUCGAUGUGUUGUCCUGGCUUAGAUGCCGAUGUGUUAGUAGAUCUUUCUAUUGGUCAUUUAUGGGAUGAAGCGGAUUUUUGUAUUUGGAUGACGAGUGCGGACAGAGGGGGAUUGAUUGCAAAGUUGUUGGGACUGUAGUUGGGCCAUAGAGAGAUGUUGGUCAGAGGCUAAGCAGGUGGGAUAUCUCCUGUGAGAAGAUAUGAAGUUGUAUGAUUCAUAUGGGGAUUCUAUAAAGCGGAAUGCAUAUACUACCGUUUCAGAGCGCUUGAGGAAGUUGGCUUGGAUUUUACAAGGAUGAGUGUGCACUUGGAAGAUGAUUGGAGCAUUUAUGACUAGUGCUACGUGAGCUUAUAGAGGAGAUUCAGCUGGAUGACAACGCAAGCUUCUGGCAAGUUAAUAAAUAAAGGUAUUGUGGGUUAUUAGAUGAUGUGUUAUGUAGCUUCGAGUUAAGUGGAGGAGUUUAUCAUCAAUGAUUAGGUAUAGAUGAAGGGAAGUUCUUGUUUUUUUAGGAGUUCUUAUUAAAUCUAACCAUCUUAAUUUGUUGAAUAUUUGAUUGAGACCAAGUACUCACUUUUAAUAAACACUAGUCUUAGAUUACGCGCGUUGCGCGCUCAAUUACUAUAAACGUUUUAAAAAUUAUAUAAAUAUUAUAUUAUUAUUUUUUAUUUGAGUUAAAAAAUAAAAGUUAAGAGAGUGAAGAAUAUUGAAUUAAAUAAUGAAUAGCAAUUUAAUCAAUUGGCCUCUUAAUAUUAUACAAUAACUGAUCUCUUAUUUUUUGUUUUUUUCACUGCCGAUUCUCUUCUCAAGGGCACAAGUUAUGUACCUGUAUAGGAUAAAAUAUGAUAUGACACGUGGUCAUCUAAAGGGGGGAUACGUGAAACCCAAGAUAGGGAUGGCCGAAGACCGAACGCAGCCAUUCCACUUGUCACCGAAAAGGAUAACGUUCAUAAAGGUGCGUUAAAUGAUCUGCGUCCGAUAGCAUUUAAUAGGGAAUAUUUUGCAGCAUUAAGAGCGACGGUCUGUUACAAAGAAUUCAGCAUUUAUGUUCACCGUUACGUCUUCAUCAAUGAGUCUCAUAAUUGACAUUAAAGGAGGGCACGAUCCUAGGACCUCCUUCCUUAGACAUAGCUAUAAAUAGUGAGCUCAGUUAUCAUUGUAAAGGACACGAAUUUUCUGGCAAAAGUUAUACUAUGUUCUAUACAAAGCUUAAUACAAUCUUACUUUCUUACUUUUUGAUCUCAUCAUUGUUGUGCCCGGAAACCUUGUUCCUGGAACCGUCAUCUCUGUUGUUUCAUCUAUAUUUCAAGGGUAAGUAUUGUACAUUUCUUCAAUUAUUGCAUUAUUUCAGGAUCAAGUUAGUUCACUUGUCUAGAAACCACGUAUAAAUUCAACUGUACCAUUUUACGGAAAAACAGUUUGGCACUCACCGUGGGGCCAAGACAACCGUGCAAUUAAAUUGAUCCUUGCCUUUUUUUACUAACGCGAUUUGAUUAUUUUGUCUUCGAAAAGUUCAUAAGAAAUGGCAGAUAACACUGUUAACGACACGCACAACCCUGAAAUUCGAGGGGAUCAGCCUCAUUUCGAGAACUCAAUCAGUGACACCCGCAAUGAGGAGAAUGACGCCACGCCGGUGCAUGACAGGCAGUACCCUCGACAGGUUCGGGAUAUAACUCCUGAUGAUGUUGAUGAGGAACAUGUCGUGGAUGUGAUGAGGGUCCUGCGAGAACAACAGGCAAUCACUCUAGGCUAUCUCACGCGGCAGAACAAGGUUAUGACGAAACUGAAGCAGGCACUUUUGGGGGCUUCAAAUAAUGCAAACAGAUGAGAUCCAAUUCCUCCCGGUGUUCCCGCAAACCAAACGACGCAGAGAGUUGACAACAACACUCCCAGGGGCGAAGUUGGCUCCGACGGGGCUGGGGGAGCAGAUGCGGUCUAAAAAACGAGAACGACCCAUUCAAUAAUGAACCUUUACGGUUUAUGAGGGAAGUAAACGCUCGCAUGGACCAAAUCCCGGGCGCGCCACCAGUAUUGAAAGGCCCGUACUCAAAGAAGUAUACUCAAUUGCCGUACAAGCCGAGUGCGGCACCAGAACUAAUCCCGAAGCGGUUCAAAAUGCCUGAAAUGCCAAAGUAUGAUGGGACUUCAGAUCCACAUGAGCAUAUUACCACCUACACAACGGCAGUAAAAGGAAAUGAUCUAGCUCCUCACAAAAUUGAACUUGUGCUGCUAAAGAAAUUUGGAGAAACUCUCACAAUGGGAGCCCUAAUGUGGUAUUCAUUAUUACCCAAGCAUUCCAUAGAUUCCUUUGAUAUGCUCGUGGAUUCUUUCAUCAAGGCUCAUGCCGGGGUCAGAAAAGUACAAUCCUGGAAGGCCGACAUAUUCAGGAUGGCGCAAGAAGAAUCCGAAUUAUUACGAGAAUUCGUUACCUGAUUCCAGAAAGAAAGAAUGUUGCUCCCGGUUGUCCCGGAUGAAUGGGCAGCUGAAGCAUUCACCAAAGGAUUGAACCCGAGAAGCUUAGACACUUCCCGGAAGCUGAAAGAGAGCAUGCUUGAGUUCAAGCAACAACUUGGGAAGAUGUCCAUAACCGGUACGAGUCAAAGAUAAGUAUUGAAGAUGACUAGGUCGGUUCCACAUCAUCGGCCAAAGGACGGGAGAAGAGCAGAGAAAAAUCAAAGGAUGACUACUACACGGACAGACGGACUUUGAGGGGCCGAUUUCUACCCUACGAGCGGACCGAAGGCCGUGGCAGAAACUUCUGGGCAGCGAACAAGUUCAUCGCUGAUAGAGCGAUCAUGAUCGAAACAAUAGGUCACUCUAGGAUAAGGAGACGUCGGAGUCUCGGGAUCCUUCUUACCCCAAGUUAUCGGAAUAUAACUUUAAUGUCAGUAUAGUGGAGUUGGUGUCAGCCAUGAGAAACAUCAAAGAAGCACGAUUACCGAGACCUAUGAGAUCCAAUUCCAGCCAUAGAGAUCCCAACUUAUGGUGCGAGUACCAUGGGACGAACGGACACCGGACAGGGGACUGCCGACACCUCUGAGAGGAGGUGGCAACAUUAUUGAAGAAUGGUCACCUCAGAGAAUUCUUGAGUGACCGAGCUAAGAACAAUUAUGGUCGUAACAGAGACAACGCAGAACUUCCAAAAGCAGGAGAAGAACCCCCACGCCAAAUGAUCAAUAUGAUCUUCGGGGGGGAAUGAGAUUAACGGGGUCACCUUUCGGCAGCGAAGAAAACGAAAGUAUCAAUAACCCAUAAUAAAAGGCUCCGGGAAGAUGAUAUCACUUUCACGGAGGAGGACGCAGACGGAUUACUGUUACCACAUAACGAAACACUGGUAAUUUCUUUAAAUGUGUUAGAAUUUAAUAUUAAACGUGUUUUAGUGGAUCCAAGAAGUUUGGCUAAUAUCAUACAAUGGAGAGAUUGGAGCAAACUAAACUCACCGGAAGCAUUAUUCCAGCAACAAAGCUCCUCGUUGGAUUCAACCUUGCAAGUGUGACAACCCGGGGAGAGAUUUUACUGCUCACAAAUGCUAAAGGAGUAAUGAAAACAACUCUCUUAUAAGUAGUAGAUGGUGACAUGGGAUACAACAUUAUCCUCGGAAGGCCAUGGUUAUAUGAGAUGAAAGUUGUACCAUCAACAUAUCACCAAUUGCUGAAGUUUCCAACGCCCGAAGGAAUCAAGCAGAUAAGAGGUGAUCAGCCGUCAGCAAGGAAGAUGAAUGCAAUCUCAGUUUCCAUUAGCAAAGGGAAGGAACACAUGGCAUAGCAAUUACAGGAAUCGGCACCUAUUCCCGAACUAUAAGGAGUUAGCCCAAAAAUAGAGUUAUCAGAACAAUAUCAGGUAACAAGAUAUUUCCAAGUUCCAGAAGAAAGGGACACAACGAAAUCCACGGCGGAGGAACUGGAGCAAGUUGCAUUGUUCGAGGAAUUCCUAGAAAGAAAAUUCCAUUUGGGGACAAGACUGCACCCGGAGCUCAGGUUUGAUUUUAUUGAAUUCCUUAAAUUUAAUGCUGAUUAUUUUACGUGGUCACACGAGGAUAUGACAAGUAUCCCAACAGAAAUAGCCGUGCACAAGCUGAGUUUGGAUCCCAACAUACCUCCGGUAAGGCAAAAGAAAUGUCGUAUUGUCGAGGCCAGGAAUAAAUUUGUCAAAGAAGAGGUAACCCGCUUGCUUAAAAUCAGUUCGGUCUGAGAGGUAAGAUAUCCGUACUAGCUAUCCAAUGUAGUAGUAGUUCCUAAGAAGAACAAUAAAUUUUGCAUGUGUGUAGACUAUAAAAAACUUAAUAAGGCAUGCCCAAAAAACUCGUUUCCACUGCUAAAUAUCGAUCAAAUGAAUGAUGCCACGGCCGGGCACGAGUUGAUGAGUUUCUUUGAUGCUUAUUCUGGGUACAACCAAAUCAAGAUGAACCCGGAAGAUCAGGAAAAAACUUCGUUCAUAACGAAUUCUGGUACAUAUUGUUACAAUGUAAUGCCCUUCGUGUUGAAAAACGCUGGAGCCACUUAUCACGACUCGUAAAUAAGAUGUUCGAAAAGCAAAUAGGAAAGACUAUGGAAGUUUAUAUAGACGAUAUGCUCAUUAAGUCUUUGAAUGCAGGUGACCAUAUUAAACAUUUGCAAGAAACAUUCAACAUCCUGAGGAAGCAUAACAUGAAACUUAAUCCCAAGAAGUGCGCGUUCGGGGUCAGUUCUGGUAAGUUUCUGGGAUUUCUGGUCUCACAAAGGGGAAUUGAGGUAAACCCCGACAAAAUCAAGGCCAUAGAAGAUAUCCCGGAUCAAUUGUCGAAUGUAAAAGAAGUCCAAAGGCUCACAGGAAGAUUAGCAGCUUUGAGCAGGUUCAUUUUUCGGUCAUCAGAAAAAUGUCAUCGCUUCUUCACACUGCUCAAAAAUAAGAAUAAUUUCGAAUGGAAGCAGGUUCUGAGGGAUCUGACAAAGUACUUAUCGAGCCCUCCAUUGCUCUCAAAACCAAAAGAAGGUGAAACAUUGCUAGUCUGCCUCGCGGUUUCAGAAGUUGCAGUAAGUGCGGUUUUAGUCCGAGAGGACGAAGGUACGCAAUCUCCCAUUUAUUACUGUAAGUCCCCGAAAUAUUUCACCCAAAACCCGGGGUUUCGUACAAGGCGUUUCUGCGGUCGUAAAACUGAUCCGCGGACCGCAGAUCUACCACAGACUAAAGCAAAAAUCUGGGCAAAUUUUUGGACCAUUAUGCGGUCCAGUAUGCGGCCGCAUAAUCAUUUCGUGGGCCGCACAACCCAUCGCAGAUCCAGCAUGAAACUUUCCGGAGGGGAGUUCUGUGGCGUAUUAUACGACCGUAGAAUUGGUCUGCAGACCGCAGACUGGUCGCAGAGUGAGGCAGAAGUGCCUAGUUCCAGAAGGCCAUUAUGCGGACCGCAUAUGCAACCGCAAAUCUAUGUCGGGGCUUCAUUUUUCUAAUUUUUUUUUACCCGACCCUAUUUUGAUUAAAAGCCCUUGGGGCUCAUUUUGAAGGCAAAAACCUGUCAUUUUAGAGAGAAGAGGGGAGUGUUCUUGUUACAUCUCGCAUUUUUCGUGUGUUAAAGUUUCGUCUUCAGUUAAUUAACGUAGAGUCGGGGAUGAGAUUUUCUUGAGAUUAUAAGCAUUAUGCUAUUUCAAACACAGGAUGAGUAAAUUCGUGAAGGAGAGAAGGUAAGCAAAUAGAAGAAAAUGAGUUUCGUUGAAGGUUGUCGAUUUGGGAUAAAAUACGGGCUGAGCGAUAAUAACCGAUAUUUAUGGACUAGUACCAUGCAAGGUACCAUAUGACCGUGAUAGUAUGAUGUAUAAAGUGUAUUGAAAAUAAGUAGAAUUUUAAGUAAUUUGAGACAAUUCUUAAUUAUGCGGGUAAUUGAUUAAUUACCGGGUAGCGGGAUAUUACCUAAUUAAUAAAUAAAUCAUGAGAUAAGACAACCCCCCCAAAAUGUGGCAGCUAGCCACAUUCUAAAUAAAUGACUAAGAGUCAUUUCUUGCUAUGUGGCAUAAUGUUACACAUUCCAUUCACUCCAUUCUAAUAUUCUCCAUAUUCACUAAAGAAUAUACCGUGAGAAUAUUAAUCAUUCUUACGGCAAAACUUCUUUCAACCAAAAAUCCAACGUUAGCCAUUUUACAACCAGAACGUCUUACAACAAAAACUUACAACCAAAACGUUAGCAAGCUUCCAAUAAAAUGUCUUUCAACCAAAAUCCAACGAGAAUUAUUGGAAGCUUAACAACGUACAAAUUUUGCGGUUCUAAAGGAGUACGGUGAAACCUUUUCCAAGAAUAUCAUAUGAAUUUUUCCCUACUCCAGGUAUGUUAAGGCUAAGCCCUUCUUUCAUUUUGGCAUGAUCUCGUAAUUACACGAGUUUGAUAACGAAGCAUAAAGAAAAAUUCAUAUCCCGAAAUUUACGUAUAUUUUUCUAGUUUUGUAAGUUACAAUAUUCUAUUUAUCGGGACUUCAUAUUCAUUUGAGUAUUUCCUUUUCCAGCCAAGAGAACAGAGAGUCUAUAUAUAUAAUAUUACAGUAAUUUCAUUACCAUCGAGCUAUAAUCGAUGGGCAGGCCACUAUUGGGUAACCUCUGAUCAGAUGGUAAGUUAUAUACCGAGCCUACUGUGGCCGAGCGCCUAUGAGCGAGCCCAGUUGGCCGAGAUACAGAGCCUAGUAUGGCCGAGAGCCUAUAAGCGAGCCUACUACGGUAGAUCAAUUAUAUAUAUACCGAACCUUAUAGGGCCGGACAUCUAUUUUACUUACUAUAUUGAAAGAGUUGAGUCAGUAUCAGCAAGUAAGCAUAUAUUCAGAUUAUCAGUUUAGUUUCAGCUUUCUGUACAUUUCCUUACAUACUCGGUACAUUAUUUCGUAUUGAUGUCCCUUUCUGGGGGCGCUGCAUUUCAUGCGUGCAGGUUCAGACAGACAGACGGGUAGACCUCCUCAGUAGGGGUUGCCCGAGUUUAGCUUUAUCGGUAAGCUCCCUGUCCUUCUGAGUUACCGGGUCUAGAAGUUUUGUGUACAUCUUGUGUAUAUAUGUAGAUAGGUUAUGGGUAGGUCGGGGCCCUGUUCCGAUCACAGUACAUCUAUCAGUAGAGGCUUGUAGACAUAUCCUAUCAGUUAGUGCAGUAUGUUGGGCUUAUAGGCCCUGUACAUAUAUUUUAUUGGCUUGUCAGUUGUAGUAAUUAUGACUGCCUUGCCGGCCCAGCUUUAUGUUGAUAUUUAGUCAGCGUUACUCUCUAUUCAGUUUUAUAUUUUGCAUUGCACAUUAUCUUGUAAUGUGUCCCAUGUCCAAAGUAUGACAUUAAAUGUUCAGAGUCUCUUAGUCGCAAGUGGUACGCAAGGAUAGGUGGGGUCCCAGGCUCGGGGCGUGACAAAAAUAGUAUCAGAGCAGUUCUGUCCUAGGGAGUUUACAAGCCGUAUCUCGUAGAGUCCUUUUUAUGGGUGUGUUGUGCACCACACUUAUAAACAGGAGACUACCGGAUAUUUAAGAUGGUUACUUUUCUUUCUAAUCCAGAUUGUGCGAUAGAACUGAGUCAUAAGUACCCAUUCCUAAUCUUUACCUUAUUUAUGUUUUAGUGAUGCCUAUUACUACUAGACGACAGGCGCGAGCCGCUAGCAUGGGUCAGAAGGCUACGGAAGUAUUAGAAGGAGAUAUAAGUUACACUAUGGAGUCAGACUCAUCGGAGAUCAUGGGUUCUAUUGAGGAGGAUCCAUCCGAGGAUCCAUAUGAGUCAUCUGUUCGAGCUGUUUCAAUCACUCCGGCAACAGAUGGGGUGAGAGGAGUUCUGACCUCACCAAGUCCCUUAGUUUCAUUAUCACAGCCCGUUGAUCAGGGUAUGAGGGGAGUGGUGCACCGAUUGUCACAACAGGGUUCCCCUCAGGCUCAAAACUAUGUCAGGGUAUUUGCGGACACCAGCUCUUCUGAGAUUCCAGAUAGUCCACAGUCNNNNNNNNNNNNNNNNNNNNNNNNNNNNNNNNNNNNNNNNNNNNNNNNNNNNNNNNNNNNNNNNNNNNNNNNNNNNNNNNNNNNNNNNNNNNNNNNNNNNNNNNNNNNNNNNNNNNNNNNNNNNNNNNNNNNNNNNNNNNNNNNNNNNNNNNNNNNNNNNNNNNNNNNNNNNNNNNNNNNNNNNNNNNNNNNNNNNNNNNNNNNNNNNNNNNNNNNNNNNNNNNNNNNNNNAAUGGGAUAUGCAGAGGAAGAGGAUAGUAGUCGGGCCAAGAGGAGGAAGGUAACUGAUAAGGAUAUGGAGAUUCCGCUUCGAAGUGUGUCUGAUCGAGGCUCUCACAUAGGACGAGGCAAGGACCCUCUACUGUAGACUUCCUCCUUUAAGAUUCAGAUACUUAUCAAGUAAAUUAAGGGUGUGUUUGGUAUGAAGAAAAAUGUUUUCCUCGAAAAUAUUUUCAUGAAAAAUGAGUGGUUUUAUCACUUAUAUUUUCUUGUUUGGUUGGUGAGUGAAACCUUUUUUCGGAAAAUAUUUUCUAGUGUUUGGUUAGAGUAGAAAAUAUUUUUUAGAAAAAUAAUAUUUUAUGCUACUCUCCUAAUCCCAUUUCCCCAAGUCCCUAUGUUUCCUGUGCUCCCCCCCUCCCAAAUACCCAACAUUUUCAUGAUUCUAUUUUUUCUUCAACAAUUUAAUAAUUCUUCUAAAAAUUCAUACAAACUCAAAUAAGCUAAUGUGUUGCUUUACUUUUUCACGCAAAAAAACGUUAAAAUUUAUACUCCAUAACUAAAAUAAAUACUCUUUUGUUUUUGUUGAAAAAGAAAGUACUAUUUCUACAACAUGAAAAUAAAGUAUUCAUUUUGUUAAAAUAAAAGAAAAUACUUUUUCUACAUCAUGAAAAGGAAAUACUCAUUUUGCUGAAAUGAAAGAAAAUAUUUUUUCUACAUCAUGAAAAGAAAAUAUUAUUUUUGUUGAAAUAAAAGAAAAUACUUUUUACUACAUCAUUUUGUUGAAAUAAAAGAAAAUAUCUUUUUUACAUCAUGAAAAGAAAGUAUUUUUUUGUUAAAAAAAAAAAACCUUUUUUAUAUCGUGAAAAGAAAAUACUCAUUUGUUGAAAUGAAAAAAAAAAUACUCUAUCUAUAACAUGAAAGAAAGCACUAUUAAUAAUAUUUCUAUUUAGGGUGGGGAUGGAUAGGUAGGGGUGUGGGGGUGGGUUGGUGGGGUUGGGGAAUGGGGGGAAGGUUGGAAAAGAGUUUUUGAAAAUAUUUUUUCUUCUUCUGAUAGGCAAAAUAUUUUUUUCCAAUUGGAGGAAAAUGAGUUCAUGAGGAAAAUAUUUUUCAAAACAUUUAAGCCAACCAAACAUAGGAAAAUUGGAAAAUAUUUUCCGAAAAAUAUUUUCUUUCAUACCAAACACACCCUAAAUAAAUAACAAUUUAAUUCAUUGAUUAUUUCCUGUAGACUUUCGCUUAACUUAUUUCAUGUGACAGAUAUAAAAUCCAGCUGCACGGUUUAGACAUGAAAACUUAUAAGAUUUAACAAAGGUGUAUCAUCAAUCUCCGGACCGAAACAUGAAUUCCAUCCACUAACUAUUAUUUUUCUAGUAUUUAUUAUUAUUAUUAUUAUCCAAUGUAUCGUGCAUAUUGACCCAUAGAAUAGUCUUGCCUUUUAAUAAAUUCAAAUAAUAAACAAUACACACAUUUAAUAAUAAUUAUAUUAAAAUUAAGAGUAUAAGUAUAUCAAAUGAACUAGAAAAUUUAUUUUAUUAAGUCAAUAUAAAAUACUUACUUUUACUUGGUCCAUUCAAUACAUACAAAAAGUACUUGCAUAAGAAGUCGAAAUUAUACCAUUCCCAUAAUCAUGAUAAACUAUAUUUAAUCUUGUGCUAUAAUCAUUUCGAUAGCUUAUCCAAUUCCAUCAUUAGAUUGUGAACAUAAUCAUUCUUGUAUAUGACAAACUCUAUACACUAAAUCAUCUACUAAUGUAAAGGACACACAUGAAUACAUCAACUUUUUAAAUAUUUAUAAAAAUUAAAUAAAUAAUUAUAUUAUAAUAAAUGCAAUAUCUAAACACAUGGUUUAUAGUUGUAUAUCCCAAUAAUCUCCUACUUAGACUUUUAACCAUGUCAAUUAUUAGAAUAUAUUAUAUCUAAAUGCAUAAUUAAUAGUACAUACCAGUCAACCCCAAAUCCUACCAAAGCCGUGACGGUACUUAACACUACUUGCUAGGCAAGCUAACACUAAAAUAAUAGCAAUAAACUCAAAUAACAUGAUUAGAUAGUCUGAAUAGCUGAAUAAACAUAAAUGGCAGAAGUCAAUAACAUUCAUACAACUAAAUCAUUCGACGAUCUGGUGUUACUAAGUACAUGAGCGCUACAAAAUUUGUAAAUACAUAGUGUGAAAUACAUAAUUGUCUAAAAGAUAGAAAAGUAAUAGCAUAAACAAAGGGGGGAAGGGACAUCAAAGAACGCGAAGAGAAUCAACAACUACCUCGAAAUCUCCAAGAAACCUGGUACUGGUACAACCAACUAACAACACAUCAAAUAAAAACAUCAAGUACCAAUAAACAAGAGACAAGGGAUACAUCCUGGUACCUGAUAACACGUAUGUAUGCUAGAAUCAACAAUAUCGCAGAUAAAUCAACAAGAAUGUCAUAUCCGAACACAUGUAUAGUGCUUGGCACAAUUUCCCCCAGACCCUAACACUUAACAACAAUAACACUCAGCAUUGUACAGGUGUCUGACACAAGUCCCUCACCCAAGCACCUAUGUGACCCAAUGCCUGCACCCACGGUUAUUACCUAACUCCGGAAGGGCAGGUCCAUGCCCAAGUGCUGAUCGGAUCUAAGUUUGUCACAACCCAAAAAUCAACCAGUCGUGAUAACGCAUAUCAUACUUGAUAGGCAAGCCGUACAUAACAAUAAAGAACCAAAAUAGUGGAAUUUACAGAAAUAACACAAGUCUGGAACCUCAAUAUAACAUAAUAAUGCUAAUACAUGAUAAAUCCCCCAGAACUGGUAAAUACAAAGUCACGAGCUCUAAUAUGGAAAUACAUAUCCUAAAUGACCAAAUACAAUACUGUAUGUAAUAAAGACAACAGUAUAUAAGAAAAGAGACGUCAAGACUGCGGUCGAGAGUGCAGUUCUACCUCGUCCCUAAAUGAUCAGCUCAACUACAAGCCUCUGCUACUGAUGACUGGGUCCGACACCUGGAUCUGCAUAAUUAAGUGCAGAGUGUAGCAUGAGUACAACCGACCCAAUAUACUCCACAAGUAUUAAAACUAACCUCGGCGAGGUAAAGGAAGUAGGAACUAUAAAUGAUACGUGUUAUAACCUGUACAGUUUCAUAAACUGAACAAGAACGAAACAAUAAUGUGAUCAAGCCAUAUAGAACAUAAAUCAACCAUCUAUGUGUGCAAAAUUACUCAAGUCCUCUGCUUAGUCAAUGUUACAGCAUAUAAAGAUGAUAUGCAAUUAAUUCAAGUAAUUAACCACUGGCCAAAAAAACCAAAAAAAACACUGGCCAGAUUCCCCUCAAUAUUUUCCAUAUCCGUAUCAAACCACUGAUCAGUUUUCACAGAUCCGCAUGUACACCAUCAAGAGAGAAACAUGAGAGGGUGACCCUAGGGGGAUGGAUCCAUAUCCACACACCUGCAUGGCCAAUUCAAUGCGCUUCCAACGUAGUCACAUGCUCAAAAUCAAAAUCCGCACGGCGUAGUCACAAGCAUUACAGUACAAUCCACCCGGCGUGGUCACAGGCAUAACAAUACAAUCCGCCCGGCGUGGUUACAAGCAUAACAACAUGAUCCGCCCGGCGUGGUCACAUACAUAACAACACAGUUCGCCCGGCGUGGUCACAAUCAUCCAGUCCAAACCAUAUCAAACGUAAGCAAAUAUACAAGAAUACAUGUAUGUGAUAAAUGAAUAACAAAUUUCAUGCUCCUGGACUGGUAUCAAUGACAUGCUAAAGUGUAGGCAUGUGUACAGUGUGCUAUCUUAGCCCAAAUAUGAAAUUUCAACACAGAAAUAGCAGUUAUCAAGUUCAUUCAGGGAUUUAGCCUCUAUAUAACCUCAAACGUGGAUCAAAUAGUUCACAACAAGCUUAUCAUAUGAGAAAACUUAUAGCUUAAAGCUUAACGGUGAAUUCUAGGCAUAUUAUAGCCUAAGAUACCUCGAGCAUGGAUAAGUACCCCAAUGCUCGCACAUGGGUUGACACCCCACACAUGUGCUCACCCAUAUCACAAAUAUCUCAGGCAACUAGUGACACAACCAAGUUUAGGUAACAUACUUACCUCAAGCAUGCCAAAUCACUCCUCUAACAAGCCCUUCCUGCUCAACCUAUGGACGAUCCGAAUCUAGUCAAAAUAACAUAAUACUAUCAAGAAAAUCCAUAGGAAGUAAUUACAAAUGAUAAAGCUAAGAUCUUUAACUCAAGUCAAAAAGUCAACCCAAAACGUCAACCACGAGUCCAACCAUACUAAUUUCUUCCAUUUCCAUCCACAAAUCGACCCACAAAUCACCAAAUCUCACUCUCCAACCACCUGGUCUAAAAUCCCCAAAUUUCACUUCAAAUUCACAUUAACUAGGUUUUAAAAUCAAACGUUAAUUAAUAUCUAACAUCAAAAGUGAUUGAACUUCACUUACCUCUUCAAUUGUAACAAAACCCUCUCAAAAAUCGCCCUUAGUCGAGUUCCAAAUCUCUCAAAAUGAGAAAACACUCAAACCCUUCGAAUAUAAGAACCUGCUAGUGAACUCGCACCAGCGCUCCAAAUUUUCACUUCCGCGGGACUGCUUCUACGGUCUAAAUCACGCAUCUGUGCACUUCAAUUAAGUUCCGACAAACCACUUAUGUUGUCCAAGUCCCGCUUCUGCGCAUCAGCACCCGCGAAACAUUUCUGCAUCUGAGGUCCUAGCUCUGCACGCCUUUCUCCGCUUCCGCAUCCCCCUAUCUGCAUCUGCGGCCUCGUAGAUGCGGUCGAUCCUUCACACAUGUGACCUUCACUAGCCCCAGUUAAACCGGCACCUGCGAUCACUUGGCCACUUCUGCGGCGUCGCGCUUGCGGAAAAUUGCACCUAAAUACCUAGGCUUCAGCAAUCCUUCAUGUCCCAAAGUGAUCCGCCAACUAUCUGAAUCUCACUUGAGGCCCCUGAGAUCUUGUCAAAACAUGCCAACAAGUCCUAAAUCAUAAUACCAACUUACUCGAAGCCUUACAUCACAUCAAACAACAUCAAAAUCACGAAUCACACCCCGAUUCAAGCCUAAUAAAACUAACGAACUUCUAAAACUAAUGCCAAAUCAUAUCAAACCAACUUCGAAUGAACUCAAAUUUUGCACACUAGUCCCAAAUGACACAACGGACCUAUUCUAACUUUCGAAACAAAAAUUUAAACACGAUAUCAACAAAGUCAACUCUCAGUCAAACCUCUCAACCUUCCAAACCUUCAACUUUUGCCAAAAAAUAUCAAAUCAACCCACGAACCUCCAAAUCAACAUCCAGGCAUACGCCUAAGUCCCAAAUCACCAUACGAAGCUAUCAGGACCAUCAAAACUCUAUUCCGGAGUCAUCUACACAAAUUCAAACUCCGGUCAACUCUUUCAACCUAAGCCUUCAACUUUGGGACUAAGUGUCUCAAUUCACUUUAAAACAUCUAUGAAGCCAAACCAACCACCCUGGCAGUACACAUAACCAAAAAUGAACAUAGAAGAGGCAAUAAAUAGGGGAACGGUGCUACAAUACACUAAAUGACAGGCCGGGUCAUUAUAUUCUCCCCCUCUUAAACAAACAUUCGUCCUCGAAUGGGUCUAGAAUUGUACCUGGAGUCUCAAAUAAGUGUGGAUAUCUACUCCACAUCUCCCGAUCUUCCUCCCAAGUAGCCUCCUCGAGCGGCUGACCUCUCCAAUGAAGUUUCACUUAUGCUAUACUCAUUACCUCAACUUCCGAACCUGCCGGUCCAAAAUGGCCACCGGCUCCACAUUAUAAGUCAAAACCCCGUCCAGCUAUACUGUGCUGAAGUCCAAAAUAUGCGAUGGAUCACCAUAAUACUUCCAGAGCAUAGAAACAUGAAACGCUGGAUGAACACCUGAUAGAUUAGGUGGCAAUGCAAGUCUGUAGGCCACCUCCCCAACUCUCUCAAGUACCUCAAAGGGACCAAUAUACUGAGGUCUCAACUUGCCCUUCAUCCCGAACCUCAUCACACCUUUCAUGGGGGAAACACUGAGUAAAAACUUCUCACCCACCUUAUAUGCAACAUCAUGAACCUUCCUAUUAACAUAACUUUUGUGUCUGGACUAUGCUGUGCGGAGCCGCUCCUGCAUCGACUUCACUUUCUCCAAGGCAUGACGGACUAAAUCAGUGCCCUACAAACUUGCCUCUCAAGGCUCAAAUAAACCAAUUGGAGAUCGGCAUCUCCUCCCAUAUAAGGCCUCAUAUAGAGCAAUCUGGAUACUCGACUGAAAGCUGUUAUUGUAGGCAAACUCUACUAAUGGAUGAAACUGAUCCCAUGAACCUCCGAAAUCCAUAACACUGACACGUAACAUGUGCUCCAAGAUCUAAAUAGUACGCUCGGACUGCUCAUCCAUAUGAGGGUGGAAUGAUGUACUCAACUCAACCCGUGUGCCCAACUCGUGCUGCACUGCUCUCCAACUCGAUCCGAGAUAAUAGACACAGGCACACCAUGAAUGAGAACAAUCUCAUGAAUGUAAAUGUGAGCUAACAAUUCAGAAGAAUAGGUAGUCAUCACCGAGAUGAAGUGUGUGGACUUAGUCAACUAGUCCACAAUAACCCAAAUUGCAUCGUAUUUCUUUAAGGUCCGUAGUAAGCCUACCAUAAAAUCCAUAGUGAUGCGCUCUCACUUCCACUCUGGUAUCUCCAAUAUAUGAAUCAACCCUCCCCGUUUCUGAUGUUCAUACUUCACAUGUUGACAAUUCAAACACCGAGAGACAUAAGCAACAAUAUCUUUCUUCAUUCUCCACCACCAAUAGUGUUGUUUCAAGUCACGGUACACCUUUAUGAAACUUGGGUGAAUGGAAUAGCGCAAACUGUGAGCCUCCUCAAGUGUCAAAUAUCUCAACCCAUCCACAUUUGGAACACAAAUUCGGCCUUGAUGCCGCAUAACACCAUCAUCACCAAUCACAACCUCCUUGGCACCACCCGGUGCACCGUGUCCUUUGACACCAACAAGUGAGGAUCAUCAAACAGGCAAUCCUUGAUACGCUACAACAACAAUGACUGUGCAACCACGCAAGCAAGAACACGCCUGGGCUCUAAAACAUCCAAUCUCACAAACUGAUUGGCCAAGGCCUAAACAUCCAUAGCUAGUGGCCUCUCUGCUACCGAUAAAUAUGCCAAGCUGCCCAUACUCUCAGCUUUCCUACUCAAUGCAUCUGCCACCUCAUUGACCUUCCUCGGAUGAUGUAAUAUGGUGAUAUCAUAGUCUUUUAGCAACUCUAACCAUCUCCGAUGCUACAAAUUAAGGUCUCUCUGCUUUAAUAGAUGCUGGAGACUCUGAUGGUCAGUAUAGACCUCACAAUGAACAUUAUACACAUAGUGCCUCCAAAUAUUCAAUGUGUGAACACUAGCUGCCAAAUCUAAAUAAUGCAUAGGUUAAUUCUUCUCAUGAACCUUCAAUUUUCGAGACGCGUAGGCAAUCAUCCUACUAUCCUGCAUCAACACCGCACCAAGCCCAUUACGUGACACAUCAUAAUACAAAGUGUAAUAUCCUGAACCUGUAGGCAACAACAACACUGGGGAUGUAGUCAAUGCAGUCUUGAGCUUUUGAAAGCUCUCCUCACACUCAUCAAACCACCUGAAUGGGGCACCCUUCUAUGUCAAUCUAGUCAAAGGUGCAGCAAUGUAUGAGAAACCCUCUACAAAACAGCGAUAAUAACCUGUCAAACCCAAGAAGCUUCGAAUCUCUGUAGGUGAAGAUGGUCUAGGCCAACUCUGAACUACCUCAAUCUUUUUCGGAUCCACCUUGAUUCCUUCACUCGAUACCACGUGGUCCACAAACGCCACCGAAUCAAGACAAAACUCACAGUUGGAGAAUUUGGCAUAUAUCUUUAUCUCCCUUAUGGUCUAGAGUACGAUCCUUAAAUGUUGCUCACGACCUCCUGACUGCGUGAGUACACCAAUAUAGCAUCAAUGAAUACUGUGACUAAAGAACCAAGAUAUGGCUGGAACACACUGUUCAUCAAGUGCAUAAAGGCUACUGGGGCAUUGGUCAGCCCAAAACACAUCACCAAAAAUUGGUAAUGACCACAACGGGUCAUGAAUGCCGUCUUCAGAAUAUUUGAAUCCUGAAUCUUCAAUUAAUGAUACCCAGACCUCAAAUCAAACUCCGAGAACACUCUAGCACCCUAGAGCUGAUCAAAUAAGUCAUCAAUAUGCGAUAGUGGGUAGUUGUUCUUAAUUGUAAAUUUGUUCAGAUAUCGGUAGUCAAUACACAUCCUCAUAAUAUCAUCCUUUUUCUUACACAAAUAGAAUCAGUGCACUCCAAGGCGACACAUUAGGCCUAAUUAAGCCCUUAUCAAGUAACUCAUAAGUAUGUUCCUUUAACUCCUUCAAUUCCUCCGGUGCCAUGUAAUACGGUGGAAUAGAAAUGGGCUGAGUGCCCGGCACCAGAUCAAUACCAAAAUCAAUGUCCCUAUUGGGUGGCAUGCCCAGCAUAUCUGCAGGAAACAUAUUUGGGAAGUCUCUCACUACCGGAACUGACUCAACGGUAGUAGAGUCAGUACUAAAAUCCCUCACAAAGGCCAAAUAUGCCAGACAUCCAUUCUCAACCAUCUGUUGAGCCUUCAAAUGAGAAAUCACUCUACUAAGGACAUAAUCCAGGGAACCUCUCCACUCAACCCUAGGAUUCCUCGUCAUCGCCAAUGUCAUGACCUUAGCGUGAUAAUCUAGAAUAGCAUGACAUGGUGACAACCAAUCCAUGCCAAAAAUCACGUCAAAAUCAACCAUGCUAAGUAGUAAAAGAUCCACUCUCGUCUCUAAUCCCACAAUAGUCAGCUCACACGACCGAUACAUACGGUCCACAACAAUAGAAUCACCCACCGGUGUAGAUACAUGAGCAUACAUAACUAGAGAAUCACAGGGCAUAUCCAAACAAUGAGUAUAGUAUGAUGACACGUAUGAAUAAGUGGAACCAGGAUCAAACAAUACCAAAGCAUCCCUAUGAUCAUGGCAUCAGAAGCAACCGCCUCUGGCCUGACUGGAAAUGUGUAGCAACGGGCCUGACCACCACAUGAUCUACCUCCCCCUCUAUGGUGACCUCGAGUUGACCGGGCCCCACCCCAAGCUGCCUGUGCUAGUGGGCUAGCUGUUGGUGGUGACAUCAUAGACUAGGAGCUUUGUUGUAGGACUCUAGUCAACAGUCUUGGGCAAUCAUUUUCGAGAUGACUCAAGUCUCCUCACUCACAACAACCCCUCCUGUAAGGCUGCUGACCUUGAUAGCCUGAAGAACUGGCUGUGGAAAAAGGUAGAUUAAGCAUGGUAAAAACUCUGUGCCGGCAGCGCACUGAAUGAUGACUGAGUUGGGCAUGCACUGUAGGAACUGUGUCCAACUGAAGAGCCACGAGGAACAUCAUGAGUUGUCUGAACGGGUCAAGAAAGAUGACCUAUGAUGUAAUGGGACUGGCCUCCAGAUGAGGCACUACUGAAACCACCUGAACUACGAGGCCUCUUGGCCUUCCGCUCGUCACGCUCCAUCCUGUGAACUUGCUCUAAGAGUUUAUAAAUCUUGACAACCUGGUCAAACCUAGCAUUCGUCGCAACCUCUCGGGCCAUACAGAAACGUAAACCAUAGUUGAGGCCAUCAAUGAACUUCCUAAUCUUAUUCAUCUCAGUGGGAACCAACCAUACUGCAUGACGAUCCAAAUCUGCGAGCCGCAUCUCAUACUGAGUCACUUUCAUACUCUCCUAGUGUAGCUUCUCAAAUUGCCUACGCAACUCCUCUUUGCGAGUCUGGGAACAAUCUUCUCUAAGAAGAGAGCUGAGAACUCAUGCCAUAUAAGUGGCGUUGCGUCAGCUGGAUGGCUCAGCUCCUAAGUUUACCAUCAUCUGUAAGCUGCCCCUGUCAAUUGAAAAGUAGUAAAUGCAACCCCACUAGCAUCCAAAAUACCUGUUGUGCGAAGAAUCCGCUGACACAAGUCUAGAAACUCCAAGGGAUCCUCUGACUCUGCUUCGCUGAUCUCUGGAGGCUUAAGACUCCCAAACAACUCCAACCUCUUCUGCUCCUCAUCACUCAUGGGUGAACCAACCUCGGCCUGAGCAGUAGCAACCGACUGAACUGGCAAUACACCCGGUGUCUGGUGACCCUGAACUAGCUGCUCUGGGGUACGAGUGAAAGGAGUCUGGGCACCUCCCCCAGCAUGUGAGGUAGCUGGUGUGGACGAAUAAGUUUCACCUUUCUUUUAAAAAUUAAUUUAUUUACACUUAUUAAAUUCCAAUAAAUAUGUUAAAUAUAUUUUCUAAUUAAUAAUACCUAUUUUUAAGUAAUUAAGGGUGGUGUGGACGAAUAAGUUUCACCUUUCUUUUAGAAAUUAAUUUAUUUACACUUAUUAAAUUCCAAUAAAUAUGUUAAAUAUAUUUUCUAAUUAAUAAUACCUAUUUUUAAGUAAUUAAGGGUGUUAAUUAGUAAUUUGGUCAUUGUAUAAUUAUAAAAUAUUACCUCUACUAUUUUUCCAUUAUUUAAAUUAUUAAAAUAUAUUUUCAUAUUCAUUACAUAGGUUAGUAAUUAAUUUAAUAAGGUCGUUCCUUAAUUUUGGCAAAAUACCCUACUAUUUCUAAAUAAAUCCGAAAUUAAUGUCACAAGUAGAAAAUAGGAUAUUUAAAAAUUAUUUAGUUUAUUUAUUGGAAUUAGUAGUGUAUUUGAUGAUUUUAAUUUCUAUUAUAUUUUAUUAAAAUUAUUUAAGUUUAAUUAAAUUAAUUUGUAAGAGGUUAAAUAUCAAUUGGCUACGCUUGCAAUUAUGUAAUUUAAUACAAAGUUGCUACUUUUCAAAUAAAAAACAACCCUAAAUACCGUGCCUUAUUACCCCAUCUGAACCAGUCUAAACGACCCUCUAAUCCACAGUGGCGAUCCGCAUCUCUUUCCCUAAGCCAAUCAGAGCUUGCCACAUCGCACGUCCCAUUCCCUCACUAAACGGACCAGAUUUAAUCCCGUUGGUAGUUAUUUUUUAAAGACCUGUCAUGUUUUAUCUCCGCCGUUGGACCACAAGACUCCAACGACCAUCGCUUUUUCUCCAUAAAAUUAUUUUAAAACUCCUAACUCUCAAAAUAAUGGGAGCCAUUGAUCAAAUGAUCCAACGGCUCCUGUUCCGUCUCCCACUUUUAUCUCUAGAGACGACCAACCCUUACCCCAAGCCCUAAUUCAUUUCCCCUUUGACCUAGAAGCCACCCUUUCCCCUUUCCUCUCCUUUAUCUCCACUCAUAUCACCAUGCAUGUCACGAGAACCUUGCAUAAAUUCGUGCAAGGUCUCAAAUCACCCAGAGAAUCAUGCCUUCUAUCUCUCAUACCCACGAUCCCCGCUGAACACUUUACCAUUUCUGUCUUUUGGAUUCAAACGCCCAGAAAAAUCCUAGCUUAAGCAUGAAACAUCAAAUCCCCGAAUUUCUCUUGUGUUAUGUUAAAUUGAAGCAUGUAUGGCUUCUUCCCAGUCUCAAAAUGAAGAUUCUAUAUCUAUAGGUCAAACACAGUGACCUCUAGGUUCUUGAGCUUUGUCCGCUGAUUUAUCCUUCAACUGUAAGCUUUCCUCACUCAGGUAAAUUUUCUCAUGAUUUUCCCCUAUGAUUUCUUCAAUUUUCACUCGUUUACUUGCAUCAUCUGAACUUUGUCACUCUCUACUAUCGUUUUGAAUUCAUUAAAACCCUAGGCUUUAAUGGCCACUAUAAAUAGGAGCCUUCAAUGCUCUCACCUAACAAUCUACCUCCCAAUACAACAUGGAAAACAAAAAGAGAAUUAAAACCCUAGAUUACUCACUGAUUUUCUUUUCCUUCUCCGGUUCUGAGUUUGCCUAUUGUUCGAGCUUGAGUUGAGAUUCUCAACGGCUAAACUAGAAGCUUUAUUUGGUUUGCUACCCAAAAGAAUGUCAGUAAACCUCAACCUUUCUUCUAUUUUAAUCGUUUGGUUGAAAUCAUGCUUGUUAUGUUGUUAUAUGGCUCUAUCUAUAAUAUGUUAUGACUGAUUAUCUAUAUAUGUUUGUUAUUAAUCCAUAACUAAUCACUGAAUUCUAGAAUUAUAAGCUCUUUAAUAUUAUGAAAUCAGAGCCACUUACUAUUUGGUUAUUCUGGUAAUCCUAAUGAACAUGUAUUUUGGUGACUUGUAUAUAUUGUUAAGCUUCUGAGAAUAACAAAGAACAUUCAAACGACCUUAAUAGUUUUCUUAAUCUUCUGGUGUUCUGUUGUAGCUCUCAUGUGUGCUAUAUUAGUUUGUCUUAGUAUUAUUGGUAUGAUUCACUUGAUAUAUGGCCUAAGUGGAUAUGGAUACAUGAUGUUGAGUAUAGGGCUGUCACUUAAUCUAAGCAUGUUAGUUUACAAUGCUUCAACUAUCUCCUUCUUUAAUGUAUUAUUCUGUGAUUCUGUAACUUUAGAACAUUAGCGUAAGAACCUUCUUUCCACUCCCAUAACUGUUUUAUCACACCCGUGAACUUCACUGUAUGAGAUAAUAUCUCAAAAUAACUGGAUUAAGCUAUAAUGAACCUAUUCACUUUUGCUUUGUCUGCUGCCAUCUAAUUAGUUCAAGUCAUGCCUAGAAACCUGAUUGAAAUUUGCACCUGCUAUAGUUGAAUACCAUCCGAUAGAAUCAAGUGUUGCAAAACAUCAUUAUGACAUACUAAUCUACUUAGCUUAUAACUGAAAUAUAUUUACCUAGUAUAAACCUUCACUAUUCUAGACCACUAUAAUGACAUUGUUAGUAUAAUCCCAUGUUCUUUGGUACCUAGUCAUAUUGUAAUAUUAUAGUUUUAUAAGAAUAUAACAUGUACAUAUUUAAAGGUCAUCCAUUGGAUGUUCUGUACUCAUCCCUGUCUCAGUAGAGAAUUUCUGCUUGUAUAUUAUGUUUGUGAUUGUGUUUUCAUAUUAUUGAAACCUACUAAGUUUACUGCAGUUACUCAUGGACUUAGGAGACCCCCUUUGAUGUUUAUCUACCCUGUUUGUAUGUAGGACUGUACAUUUAACUCUUAACCAACCUAGGAGGAAUGAAACAAAUCUCCUUAGAGGUCACUUGUUAAUGUAUUUGCUUGCCCCUGCCAUUUAAGAACUUUGAAGUGGACUGUUAACUCUCAUACUUAGUGAAAGGUGGAGUGUUGUUAGAUGUCCUCUAAGUAUAUAUAUGACUAAGUAGAUGUUUAUAGCUAAUAAUUUUCAUAAGCGUGAACCUGCUAGUAGGAUUAUUGAGGCCGAUACACCUGAUACCUUCUGUGCUCCUUUGAACUGCAUGACUUACUUAUUCAGAGUUCUUAUAUUAAUGUGUUGUUAUGCUUCUAUUGCUUUCCCGUACCUAUACGGAUCCUGUUGAGUAGUCUUAAGCCUAAUAAAAGUAUAUGGCAGUGUAUGCUUGUGUGCAAACUAUGAUAGAUUUGAUGAUGUUUUGGUGUUCUGAACAGUUAUUUGUAAAAUCAUACCUCUCCUUGUGUAUAGUCACCACUAUGGUAUUAGGAUUUACAUUGAGUGCCUCAUUAGUACCUAAACCUACAGAGAAGAGUAAGUGUGAGUAGUUAGGGUAUUUGAAAGUAGAAUUUUGUUCUUGGUUGAGCUACUCUCCAUGACACAAGCACUACUUGGGGUCCUUGAGACCCUUAUAAACUUUGAAGUGCCAGGGAUCCAAAGGGUAUUUUGUCCAUGAAUGGAAUUUUACCCUAAGCCCUUAAUAUAUUGAUAUUUGCUAAUCUCUUUAGGUUUAGUGUUAAAUAGAAAUAAAGGUUUUUACUAUAAAUUGCUUUAUUAUAUGUGACGUAAUAUUAAUCUUGCAUUCUUGAAUAAUGUUGAUUGUUACAGUUUAUCUUGGGCCUAUAUUGGUGUUACUUAUGUUUAAAUAGAAUAUUCGGCCACAUAUCUAAUGACUUUAUCUUACUUUCUAUACAUGUAUCUAAAUUUGGCCUGCCGAGUUCUCAAAGAACUCAUGCCCAAAUUCCUUACCUGAACAUUGGAGUCAUCAGAGCUGUUUGUCUUCGCUAUAUGCUAGGCCUAAUUUCCUUCCGGCCCAAACCAAGAGUCGAUCCCUUUCCUCUAUCGCUUUUAAUAAUUUGUUGCUUUUGUUAUUUAUCCGACACUAAUGAUAUUUGAUUGAAUACUUUCUUUUAUUUCUUUGAGUUAUAUCAAUAAUCUAGGAAAGCCCUUAAAACAUAGGUAAAAAUAAAAAUAGCAAUGCAACCUAGUAGUAAGCAAUUCAAAUUGUCGAUCACUUUUAUUUAGUUCUUAACUCUUACUAACAAUCUUCUUUCAUGUAAUCUUUGAAAUAAAGGUAGAUUUGCAAAAGAGUCAACAUUUUUCUUUUUUAAAAACAAGAAGAAAAUCAAAACGAACAAGAAAUAUUUUCAAAAAGCUGUCUAUUUAUGUGAAUCAAACAGUGCUAUAAUUAAGGACCUUUUAAAUGGUUUGAACUCGAGUACAAAAUUCGGAAAUCAAUAUUCAAGGUAUACCUAAAGUUUACUUCUUUAAACAACCUUUACUUUUACUAGAAUUAUAGAUGUAGCCAUACCAUUUUACAGGUACAGUAUUUUAAACCUAUCCAUAUUUUUUACAAAGCUUGAAAAUAUAAACACUAUAUAUACUUCCAAAAUUCAUUCAAUUAUGUAGACUUUUCUCAAAGGCUUUUAUAAGUGAAACUUAUAUGCUCUUUUAAAAAGUACAUAUACUAUUUUCUUUCAAAAUGAUAAGCUCGAAAUAAGACAUAGAGUAAGCUAUCAAACCUUUAAGCUCUAACUAAGUAGAAUAUAGACAUCUAAUUCCUUAAACCUAGUCUAAGUCCUAUGGAGCUACCUCAGGUAGAUUUUAGGGGGUGCCUAACCACUUCUCCUUAAAAGAACAAGAACCAUUACCCAAAAUUUCACAGUUUAGUUGUUACACCCCAUGUUUUCAUACAUGGAAGUACGCCAUACAUAAAUUAAUGGAAGUUCGGGAAUGGGAUUAUUUUGUGUUUAUAAGCAUUAUGCCAUUUCAAAUAAGUGAUGAGUAAAUUCAUAAAGGUGAGAGAGGAAGCAAGUCAAAGAAAAUGAAUUUUCGUCCAAGUUUGAGAUGUGGGAUAAAAUAUGGCGCGAGCUAAAAUACUCGGUAUUUAUGGACUAGUGCCAUACAAGGUACCACAUGACCACGAUGGUAUGAUGUAUAAGGUGUGUUAACAUGAGUAGUAUUUUAAGUAAUUUGAGAUAAUUCUUUAUUAUGUGGGUAAUUGGUUAAUGGGAGAAUAACAAGUUGAUUAAGAUAAUUGGUGGUUAAUUAUUGAACAAAAUCCAUAACGUGGCAGCAAACCCAUCUAAGGAUUGUAACUCAUAAGUCACUAUGAUUAUGUGGAAAGACUUAAAGAGCAUGAGUCAUACUCAUUAAAUAAAGAAGAGACACAUUUCAUUAGCAAUUUUUAUAAGUCGUGAAUAGAUCAGAACGUUAGCCAUUUUUGUCAAUUCCUACAAAUUUUCAAAUUCUCAUUUUCAAACACUCCAAAUCAAAUUCUAACCCUUACAUUAAGCAACAUGAAUUCUUGCAACCAAAAGGAAUCCAACGAGAAUUUUUAAAAUCAUAGUAACGUAAAAUUUUGCGGUUCUAAAGGAGUACGGUGCAACCUUUUCCAAGAACAUCAUAUGGAUUUUUUCCUACUCUGAUCUUGCCGUUACGUGUUGUCGCAAUUGAUGUGUGUUAGAGGGAUUGUCAAGAGAAUCGACUCAGAUAUGUUAAGGCUAUCCCUUCUUUCCUUUUGGCAUGAUCUAUACGACACGAAACGAGCAAAUGCACAACUUUCAUAAAUGAUUCUAUUCCUAGAAGUAUUAGAAGUGUCUAUGUUCUUGAAUUUUCAUGUAUCUUAUUAUUCUAUCAUCUGUUCAUGGGUCUCAGAAAAUACUUAAGUUGAAAAAGUUUACUUCAUGAUAUUAUUCAAAGGCAUAAUGGCAUUAUGACAUUCCGAGAGAUUUUAAUGAUGUACUUCUCAUGUAUUGCAUUCAUUUAUAUAUGUACAUUGACCCAUGACCAGAUGACGUUAUAUACACGUAUAUAUAUAUAAGUAUUUAUAUAUAUAU